CCCUCAGCUUUUUUAUGCUUUUGUUAAGCUUCUCACGCUUUACUGCCACUGCCGGCGACUCCUCCAGCAUCCUCUCGAUUCCCCCGCCGUAUGGUCCCAUCAACUCAUUCACAAUCUCAGCUUCCAACUCUUUGUUCACAAGCUUAAAGACAGACAGCUGCAAGUGCAAUGCCAUGGAGUCCACAAGCCUCCUCAAAACAACCUUCCAAUAGGCAAUCAUUCUCAUUUUAAGGUCAUAAGCUUGACCUAACACAAGCGGGUACAUCCUCAGACAACCGACUUCCACUUCCCCGAUGCCUUCUAUAUCUAUGAUAGAAGGUUUCUUCUCAUCAGCUAAGACUCCAUGAAUGAAUUCAUUUUGAUUAGCCAUCAACUUGUUCCAUUCGGAAACAUAAUCACCAUCACAUGUAUAAUCUGUCAGCUUUUCCAUCUCUACAAGCUCCAGCAUCCACUUGAUUGACCUUUCCUUCAUCUUGGCCAUUAGAUUAUGGCCGGCACGCCUUGCUGACAGCUGCAGCUGAUGAUAGUUCUCCGUAUAAUGCAUCAACACAGAAAUAACCACCUCUUCAAUGUAGCUCCACACUUUUUCCACAAAUGCUAUCGGAAUACUCGAAAUUUCAUCCACUUUUCCCUGCAAGAUACUGAGGAAAGCAUUGCGUGGAAGAAAAUUUGGAAGUGAAAUACCUUUGGCCUUCUCCAAGAUCUUGAUCUCCUUCAUCAAGAAGUUGCUCUUUGCAUCAGUUUCAGCACAUCUGUGAAGUUCAUCAGAGUACAGGUUGACCAAUCUAGCAGUGCAGUGCAUGCUGUCUUCUGCGUACUCGUCAAAUUCUCCUCUCAAAAGAAUCUUCCUAAGCGAUUCCUUAGCCAAGCCAAUGAUUUGCAUAAAGGCCGUCAUGGCCUCGGCAACAGAUGAAAGACUCUUUGGCAUUUUAUUCAGUUCCAUAAUGCAGAAGUUCAGCCUGUCAUUGAUCUUCUUCACUAUAUCGGGUAUAUUUCUUGCUAUGCUGUUUGCUUGAAUUUGGACCAGCUUCUGUGCUAAAACUGGAAUACCGACAAUGGACUUGUCAAUCUUCGAAAGCAGGGGAUGGGUUUGAAAUAGUUCAUGAGCCAUCGCCGCUGCCUCCUCAUAAGUUUCGUCACCAAUCCUGUUCCUUACACAGACAUAACCAAGACCAAUGUUUACAUCAUCUCCGGUGACCUUCUCAAGUAGUCCUUCCGGUGCCUUGUCCACUUUCGUAACCACAGCGAGCGUCCUCUCACCAGUUUUAUCUACACUUUGUGACAUCCGAAUUGACUCACACGUAGUAAAAUCCACCGUAGCAGACAAUACAUUCAGAAUAAUACUUUCUUCCGGCUUAAUAUACUCCAUGAUCAUAUCUUUGAUCUGAUCAUAAAUAUUUUCAGGUUGGCCAUGGACCGGAACCCUUGUGAUUCCCGGAAGAUCAACCAUAGUCAGAUCCGGAACCCCAUUCUUCUUCACCAACAAAUUAAGUGGCGUGUUCGAAAUUCCCUUACCUCCUCCCGCAAUAGAAUUAGUAGCUUUCACAAUAUCUUUGGCGAUAUUGUCUUCAUCAGUACGAUCAACUCUGCCAUUGUACUCCAAGGAAAGUUCAGGCUGAGGACUCGAGUGGUGUUCCAGCCUCAUAAUAAGAGGCACUCUCCUGCAGAUGCCUUGGCCCCGAGGGAGGCUGAUGCCGGCCAAGGAUUCGAGCACGCUGGACUUCCCCGAUGACUGGUCUCCGACCACCACAAUCGUUGGCAGCUGAAUGCCUUCAUCCAUCACCAUCAAGCUGCGUAACUUGUCUACCGCAUCCAGAAGAGGGCGGAUCUUGUCGUUGUAGGACGACACAAUGGGUGCGCAUUUGAGAGGUACUGCGUCUAGUUCUGCCUGAACCAUGGCGAGGGAGCCUUCACCGUUUAAAUCUGUGCAACUCGAUUCCAUUUGCCUUGGUCCUUCCGUUUCUGAAUUAUAGCAAGUGAAAAUAAUGGUGAAAAAUCUAGAGAGAAACCGAGAUAAUUUCAAGCUUAGCUAAAGAAUUGAGGUUCUCUGGCAGCUUACCCUCCAGUUGAGAACCUUUUUUUACUAAGAAUGAUUUCAGGUAAGGGAAAACACCACUUUCGUGACCCUGUAGGAAACGAAGCCUUUCCUUCCAAUGCUGCAUUUCCACAAACUCAAGAGACUCUAAUACCCCAAAAGGCAAGUUACGCUCUCCAUAAAACUCAGCACCAAUUCGAAGAUGGAGUAAAAUGUUCUGUAUUGAGUUUAUGACUUAAUGGAGUAAACUGUUCUAUUUAUAGCUACUGCUAUAUAUCAUUCUUAGCCUUUAAGCAACUUAACUGACUCUCAAUCAACAAUAACAACACAUCUAAUAAAAAUGCUACUUUAUUUGUACCAUCAUUUGCUUACACUGAUAAAUAGCACUCAUACUCAUAAGCUGACAUGGCAGCCACAUCACUUAAAGUAAGAAGAUUACUUGUCAGAGAAGAUAUCAGUCAGGAAGAAGUGAGAAAGCUGGUUUUAGUAAGUGCCUUAGGCUUAAAGGCUUCUGGUAGUACGUAUACUUGUUCAGCAUAACCUAUCGAAGUAAAUGACAACCAGCCGUUUCAAAACCGCAUGCUGAGAGAGUUGUGAUUUGGACUUCCAAACGUUUAGCAAACCACACCUCAUGCGAGCCUUUGAACCCUAAUCAGUGUAAAUGUAAUAUGGACAGUUAACUGAUGACCAUUUUUUGUGCUUGAUGCUCUUGGACUUCAAUCAACCUUUAUAUAUUAUUCAUUCAAAUAAUCGAUCACAAGCUAGCCAAUGUAAGUUGUAACCCAACAGAGACGAGAUGUUGAAGAAAAUUAUAUAUUUUUUGUACUAUGGUAAGAAAACUAAGGCACCCAUUAGAGAAAGAGAAGUGCUAGCAGCCUUUGCACUAAUAUUUGUAUUUGGACCCUUUCAGUUUAACAAAUAACACAUUAUUUUCUAUACAAAAAAAAAAAAGCAAGAAUUUUGUCUAGGAAUUAACGAUGAGAAAUUGAAUCUAACAACCAAAAUUAAAGUUAACAAAAAAAAAUAGAGAACUUAAUUCUUAUCGAAUCGAAUCUACCUUUAUGAUCGUGCUCCAGAGAAAUUGAAAAGAAUGGAGGGUUUUUGAAUUUGGUAUUUUUUGUGUGGAGAAAAAUGAAACAGAAAGAGCCUUUGAAGAUUCCUUUUUGAGUUUUCACAUUAGGAAUUGGAUAUGCUCCCAAUUUUAGUGUCCGGAGCAUGUCCAUCAAUCGAUUUGGGUUGCUAAUUUGUGUGCAAAAGAAAUCAAAGUCGUUCAUUGUGUGUGGUGGGUCAGGAAAAUAAAUUAAAGGAGGCCGUUAGAUUCAAUUUGUGUGGCCCAAAUUGGUUGAUGCACAUGCUCCAGAAACUAAGGUCUGGAGCGGAUCCAAUUCCUUCACAUUGUGGAAUUUUGUUUCACUUUUACCAUUGUAAGACCAUAGAUCAUGGAUGCUGACAUGGUUGGAUAGGUGUCAAAUGAUGGUGUCCUUGGGGUCUCCACUGUGUCAAAGAAAAAGUAGUCCCCAUGGGCAUCCGAGCGGAAAGAGAACCCACGAUAGUAUAAAGAUUUUGCAUCACACUCAUAGCUUUGACAUCAAUCCUUUUCCCCUCCUUGCCGAUGUUCUUUAUAUUUUACUUUCUUUCUUGAUAAGUUGUUUGUAGAUGACAUUUUCUGAGAAUCUCUUGGGUGUCGUAUGCGUGCUACAUCACUCGUUUGUGUCAAAAUAUAUAUAAACAUUAUUUCUUUCAAUUGAUAUUUAAAAUUAAAAGUCUACAGACACUUUUUGGGUGAACUUGAAUUAAGGAAUUCUCAUUUUAUGUGUUAAGUUUUAUGCGGAUGAGUUACGUGGUACAAAUUCAAGAAUUACUCUACAUUUUAAGCUGUUUUUUUAAACAUUUAUAAGCACAUAUAACUGAACUAGAACGCCACAUGACAAUAAAUGAAUUUUAUAUAAAUCAUUGUUACUUGGAGACUAAGAUUAUGACACCAUUAAAUAUUACAUUGUUUUGCAAGAAAAAAGAGAACAUGGGAAAGAUAACAGGACCAAAACAAUUGAGACUACAAUUUAGGACAUAUUGUACCACAUCUUAAAAAAAAAAGUGGAAUUUACUUAUAUUAUGAAACCUACUAGUAUUAAAUGGUUUACAAUGUAAUUUACUAAAGUAUAACCUCUCUAGCUGAUAAGCCUAUGAGUAAUUAGCGUUUGUAGACAUCAAAUGCUAAUGAGAAAAAAAAAAAUCUAAUUUCAUCCUAUCCACCUCUAUUAUAAAAUUUAUGUUUCAAUGCAUAUACUAACGAUCAAAAUUCAAAUUUCAAUUGUAGAACUGAACCAAAUUAUUGGUAACAAAGCGAUAAUAUAACGAUCAAAACUCAAAGAACUCAUGCCCCGAGUCUAUCAAUAUUUAUUAAAUCCAAAUGUUGUCAACUAUUGGUCUAGUGGUAACUCGUCUUAAUUUUUUACAAGCGAAAAUUCUAGAGUACAUCAACUUAUAACAUAAAUUACAAAAUUUAACGGUUAAUAUGUGUUCAAGAAAUCAAAGAAAUCUAAGAUGUAUCAUUUAUGAAUAUGGUCUACAUGCGAAAUUAUCCUCAAAGAUCAUUGUUGGACAUCAAUGACGGAAGAAAAUCGACAAGUGCUUUGAAUAUGCUCGACAACGACUCUCAACUAUGUACACUCACGAGCAGCCUUAUAGAGGGCAAGUAUCCUUGACAUAAUUCGAAGACGUAGUAACUAAAGCAUGCUUAGCAGACCUCCAAGAAAUUGUGGUUCCACCAACAACACCCAUUUGGGAUCUUGCCGUGUGCAGAUUGAAUAAGUACCCAUCAUCAACAUAACCAACAAAUGGAACUCGAGAACUGGGGUGGGGGGGGGGGUGGUGUGGGAUGGUUGCACUCGAAGUUGAGUAGGGAUGGAACAAGCCCAGGUCAACAGUACCAUUAAGAUAACAUAGAAUUUCUUUAACACCUUUCAAUGUCUGCGUGUUGGCACAUGAUUGUGUCGUGCUAAGUGAUUCAUAAUGUAGGAAAUGUUAGGUCUUGUACACUGAGAUAAGUACAACAAAGCACCAAUUGCACUUAAGUAUGGAACCUUGGGUUCUAAAACCUCUUCAUCAUCUAUCUUUGGAUAUUAUAAGUCUCGUUGUGCAUUGAUGAGUCCAUAUUGUACUAUAUAUUUUACCCUAAUCUUAGUUACAAUUUUUUGGUUAUUUUGGUGAAGUUUUGAUACUUUGGUUUAUAUUUUUAAUGUAGAACAUUUGAAUUCCUCUUGAGCAUAAAGUGAUCAAACAGACAAAUUUUGGAGCAAUUCCAACUGAAGGAUGUUCGUGAGUCUUUCAAGAUGAUUAUGUCAAAAUUCUAGAUUUUUUUACCAAGCCAUUUGACCGUGGCCAUGAUAAGAAUGCCCAGCGCGCAGUUUUUCUAGAUUGACAUUUCUGGACGUUUUGGGUAUUUUGAAGGUUAAUAUGGCAUAUUUUAAGGAAGAUUCAAUCUGAAGAUUUGUAAAUGACGUCUCAAACUUUUAAAAAAAACCUUUUGGGACCAAAUCGGAGUUGAUUUAAUUAGUCAAAAGUUUGAUUUUCUAAGAAGUCCGAAUUUCAGUUCAAAUAGGAAAUCUUUUAUUUCCUAGUCAUCUUAUUCUAUUAUGUUUCCUAGUUUUUAGAAGACCUUUUCUAAGUAGGAUUUUAUUUUGUCGUAGUACAAAUAAGGCUAUUUAGCUAUUAGGAGGGGAAGGCAUCAAUUUGGAGAACUUAGCUAGGCUUUGACGAUUUGUAUUUCAAGGUGUUUUAUAUCAUUUUUCUAUUUCAAUAAAAUUCCUUUUGUUUUAUGGUUGUUGGUAACUAAUUUCCGUUUGUUCGGGUGAUGCCUUGAGCCUUAGCAUGAAUAUGUAGUUAAUUUAAUUGCUUAUGAUAUUAUGCAUACUUUGAAUUAUCAAUCACUGUACUUUAAACUGUAUUUGUGUCUUAAUGAUUCAUGACCAUUAGGAUGAUUAGAUAAGUAAUUGGAUGCAAUUCGGUCGGAAUACCACCAGGGAAUUGAGUAUUGCUUCUUGUGAUUGAUAGUUGUAAUUUCACCUAGAGCAAAUACCAUGUCUUAGGGGUUGCAUGGUUUUUUCAAGGGGUUUUAACAAAGCGUAAUGAGUCAUGCAUGUUUAUAUUUGAUCUGAAUACCACAGACAGAUUGCAUGUUUGAUAUACAUUCUAGCUUGAAUACCACGAGUAGAAUAUACAUUAGGAAAACCUAACCUUCAAAGUUGCAUGGGUAAUUCGUAAGUAAUUAGUAAAUCUACAUAGGAUUGUUCAGGGGAUGGCUGAAUCUUAGUGCUUUUCUAAAUUUAUUUCUUAAAACCUUUUCUUUUUUAUCUGAUUUCUUCUUAAUUGGUUACUAGUAGUUUUGUGACAACCCGUCCCGAAUUUGUAUGUAUUUUAAUCCCCGAGUGUGUAAAAUGACGGAAAUGCCCUCGAGGCUUAGUGACGUGGAUGUACAUAGAUAGUUUUAAAUUAUUUUUCUCGCUGUCAUAAUUAAAUCAUACACGACGCCACGAGCGCAUUGACGCGAAUUAGGGUUGAAUCGGAUUCGUAACGAAAAUGUUACAAACGAAUAGGUGUAAAUGAAUAAGUUUGGAUUUAUACCUAACCCACCAAUCAUAUUACUUCCUACAAUCUUGGACCCAAUUAAUUGUUUGGGUUAGCUUUAUUUCUUUUUGGACCCUAAAACCCACCAUCUCUUCUUGCCCAAUCCGGAGGUGCGCGCGCGCGCACACACACACACACACACACUAAAAAUAUCUCAUUUCUCUCCUUGGUGACCAAUCACACACACACACUAAAAAUCUCUCAUUUCUCUCCUUGGUGACCAAUCAGACGCACACACACACACAACCUCAUCUCAUCUCCUUCAUCUUCUCGAACUCUCUCAUUCGUCUGUACACCGUACGAACACCAUUCACAAAUCCACCAAAAACUUCACGGAUCAAGUAUUUGAACACCACUAUCACCUUUCCAGUGAUCUCAUGAGCGAAACUCUGAGAACCCAGAGCUUCGGCGAGGUACUCUAUUACUCUAAUGUGAUUAUGGACAUUUCAUGAGAUUUUGAGGCUUAAAUAGGGUCUUAAUCAACUCUAUAAGGAUCCUAGGCUAGUUUUGGACUGGUUUGAACGUCAGAAUCCUCGAGAUCACGGAGUUGCAGUUUUGGCUGGUUGUGUCGAGCUAUUUUCUGUCCAUUUCUCGAAGGUUUUAGGUUCCUAAAUAGGUAAGGACUUGUUCUCCUUGUUGAGAGCUUCAAUUCCAUAUAAACUUUAAGAAUUUUGGUUGAGUUUUGAAGAAGAUAUGAAUAUUUUAAAAUUUCCCAGUUUCCGGCGAGUUCAGACGGCGGCGGAGGACAACGGAUUCCGUCGAAGUUCACCGUUGAAGACAGAGAAUAUUCCGUGAACUUUAACGGAAUAUUCUAACGGCGUCAGGUAACUUUAACGGAAUAUUCUAGGAUUUUAACGAAAUAUUCCCUAACGCUGUUAGGGUUUCCGUAGUUGUAUCAAACACGUGCCUGCGCGUGGGACAUCAGAAAAUUGUUCUAAAAAUAUGGGGAUGUUCGUGGUGUUAAGUAGCCCACGAUGAUAUAUUCAAACACUCAAAUUGAGCAACGCAUGAGAAAUUAUUACACGGUUUUGGUUAUGUACUUUCAAAUUAACAUUUAAUCAGUUGUUUCACAUAUGGGUGAGACGUUUUCGGAGGACGAGUGUAGCCAGGUAGGACUUGGGGGCUACGACCCUGCUACAUACCAGUGAGUGGGCUUUUGGUUUUCUAUAUAUACGUAUAUAUGCUUUACUUUUUCUUAGAAACUUUUUAAAAUGGAUUCACGUUUUUUAAAUGCCAUGUCAAUUGCAUCACAUUUUAGUAUAUGCAUUAGUAUAGAUAUGCAUAAUGUUGCAUGACACUGCGGACGCCCAGGUAAGCUUCAGGUGAGUACAUAUUGAUGAUAGAGAUGGCAACGUGUAUGGUUAUGUUUAGAUAUAUUUAGUGCUCAUUAUCUUGCACCUCGGUAUUAGUGCUCCACUCGAGGCCAGGGCCUAGCGUUCACGUGAUUGUUCGCCUCCCUUACCACACGCUCACCUUGGAUCUAAUGCAGGUGCCAGCCUGUUGUACAGACCACAUUAGGUGGUUCCGACUCGUAGGUGCCUUGCGAUAUUUCGCACAGCCUUCACGUGAUCGUAGCACUUGAACGUACUUAUUCACACCCAGCCUGUCGUACAUACCACAUUAGGUGGUUCUGAAUCGUGUGCAGGAAUUGGUAGAUGAGCUAUAGGUUUAGCCAUACAGGUCACGUUAGGUGACUCCCGCUGCCAUAUCACUUUACAUUGUUUCACAUCACCUGGCUUAUAUAUUUUAUUACUAAGAUACUUGACAUGGCAUAUACUCGGUUUUCACCGAUCUCGAGUAUGAUUUCUAUAUAUGUAUGUAUUAUUAUUUUCUAGGAAAUUAUACGGGUUUUACGGUGAGGGGUUAUUAUGUUUAAAAAGAGAAAUGUGUUUUCAAAACUUUGCUUUUGCCCACUCACAAUUUCUGUUUUGUGCCCUCUAGGUUCUAGCUAGAAGUUUUUGUUGGUGGCUCAUGAGGACUCUACGACGGUUCUGACAGCCUUGCAAUAAUGUAGGAACUUUCUUUCACGUUCUGUAUAAUUAAUACUUAACUUACUAGACUGCACUUAGGUUACCUAUGCUCUGAGUAUUGUAUUUCCCACUUUAAACACUUUCACACACUUACAUACUACUCUAGUGUAACUUAGUUAGUUUUAGUUUUUAAUUACCCACAUUUCAAAUCACUAUCACUUCCGCAUUGCGCACAUGGCUACAUCACCCUCACGUGACGACCAACAUGCCUCGAUUCAGGUCGAGGUGUGUCAUGUUUUUCCUAAAUUAAUUUUAUUAAAUUCGUUUUUAUUAUAUUUAAAUUCAAAAUCAAAAUUUUUGAAUCCUUGUUUUUAGAUAAUUAACUAAGAUUUUGGUUUUGCAUAAAUUGUUUUAAAUAAUCCUUGUGGAAACGAUCUUGCUUGAACCGUUUAUACUACAAUUACCUUAUUCUCUUGCAAGUAUUUUGUGUGAUUAUAACCUCUUUACAUAGGUACUAAAAAUCCUAUCAUGCAUCAAGUGUACGGGUGGCCAUGAGAGUACUCAAAGGCAACACUUUAUCAUUAAAGCAAUGUAACACCGUCUUGGUGUUGUUUGACUGAUGGACCAGAAUUUUGGAUUGUGAACUACCUUAGUACAUAUGUGCAGAAGUGUGGCGGGUGACGUAAACAUAAAUAAUCAUUUUAACAUGCAUGUUAAUGGAAUGUUGGAUUCCGUUUAAUCAUAUUAAAUUAAUUUAUGUAUUGAUUAUCUUCAGGUAUAAUAAACCACAAAUGUGUGUUGCACGCCCUAGGGAAAUUUUUGAGAAACUUUUGGGUUCACUAGUCUGUAUCACGCCACUUGCUCGUCUAAAAAAGAGAUUCUUUCACGUCACCAGUUUACCAUGCUACAAUUUUGAAUUUAUUAGAUGGAUAAUACAUUUUGUUUAAUAAAUGACCAACUUUACAAAUAUUUUUGUGAAGUGAUUUCACACAUAUUUUUUAGCUUUUUACACACCCAUGUUUAAUUUUGGAUGUUGAUUCUGUUUGAUUUAUUCAAUCUGAUGGCCAUAAAUAAAGAGAGGUAUGUGAGGAACUAAAAAUGGUGUGUGAAAAUCCAUGACACUGCUGAGCAUGAAUUUUAGUUAGAUGAAAAAAAACCUUACGCCUGAUACAAGUGGGAGGACAUGACAUGAUUGCCUUUAUUCAAGGAUGAGGAAUGCUAAGGUGACUAUCAAGAGUAGGACUCUCCAAGAACUCUUUGCCACCUCAUAGUUAGUUUAACGUCAAUUCAUUCAUGUGCCAGCAUUAUAAGACUAAUGCUAGGAAGACUAAAUUUGUAGACUAAAUUUGUAAACUAAAUGACAUGGAAGUUGAUUAUUAGAUUAUUACUUAAGCGUUAAUAAACGUGCUCAUUUUCUAUUGGUGACACGUCAUUUAGUUUGUAAAUUUUGUCUACAAAUUUAGUCUCCAUAGCGGUACUUGUAUUAUAAAACAUUGUGCCAAAUAUAUGAGGUGACAAAGAGUCUCAAUUUUGAGAGAGUAUCAUUAGCAUUUCUCUUCAAGAAUUUAUCCACAUUCUCCCUACUUAAUAAUUUCACCAAAAAUGGUUUCUGAAUGCUAAUGAUACUCCCUCAAUUUUGAGAGAGUAUCAUUAGCAUUUCUCUUCAAGAAUUUAUCCACAUUCUCCCUACUUAAUAAUUUCACCAAAAAUGGUUUUUGAAUGCUCACUUAUCAAAAUUAAGCCCCUGUUUAGUAUUUUUUUUUUCAUCAAAAGUUGCUUCACUUUAAAGUUAAGUAGUAAAAGUGUGUUUGGUAAAAAUAAAUUAUUUUGCUUAUAUUAAGCAUAAUGAAUGACCUCUAGAUAGCAGCUUUUAAAAGCAUCUUGUAGAUACAAAUGCUUUAAUACAAAGCAGAGUUGAGCCUUUAAUGAAUAUUUUUAAUUCCUAUAAUACGCUAAAUAAUUUUAAAAAAUAACAUUAUUUAUUCUUGUAGGCACAUUUUAUCAUUGAAGAAUAAAGUUGUGAAAUCUCGUUCCCAAAAGUUCAUUAUUUAAUUUAUGUAUUUCAUAUCUAUUUGAUUUUAUUUAACUAUAUUUUUGUUAAUAUUAGAAUUUUAAUUAUUUAGUUACAAAUUUUAGUUUUUCAUAAUUAGUCAAAAAGAAAAAAAAACUAGAAUCUGCCAGAUGGCAGCGGGAGAGAGAUAGACCAAUUAGAAGAGAGAGAAAUGAGAGAAAGGAUGGGGACCUAGCCAAUCAGAAAAGAGAGCAAGGAGGGGAAAUGAGGGAGAGAAAAACCACCCAAUACCGGAUUUUUGCAUCGACUUGUGAUUUCGUCGAUUUCAUCGGUUUUUCCGACGAAUUCCACUUAGCCGUCACUUGCACACUCCACCCCGACCUCCAUUCUCUCAUUUCCACAAAAAAUACGUGAGUUUUUGGCCUGGAUUUCACAAAAAAUUGCGUCGAGGGCUUUGUGGGUGCACGGUGUCAAUUUCGUCAUUUCUAAAAGGUUUUUCGUCAACCACUGCCACCCUUAGGCGUCUUUUGAGUCCAAGAACAUAGCCUAAAUGAGUUUGGGGGUUGCAGAGCUGCGAAUUCGACAAAUCGAGGAACACCCAUUUCUAGGGUUCCGAUGGAUCGAGGGUGUUUUCAGGCGUUUCUCGGUCAAAUUGGACUUUGGCCUAGGUAUGAAAGUUGUUUCCCUUGUUGUGAUCUACAAUUCUGUAAAAUUUGGUAAUUUUUAGAGUUAGGUGAAUUUUUUGGUGAGUCGAGGCGACACAUGGCCCGAAGAACCACUUGACCUUUCUUGGCUAAAUUCAAUACCCUGAUUCCAUAUGUGACUUGUAAUUGAUGAAAUCCCGUCGUUCGAACAUAGUUUUGAUAGAGGCUGCCACUUGAUCAUUAUAUGAAUUGACGAUCCAACCGUUGGAUCGACACCAAACUUUAGUGCGUUAUAGUACGUAAUAUUUGAGACAUUAGUAACUUAGCGAUCAGGAAUCUGAUGUACGGAUCUUUCCGAAUUGAAUUUCUAAGUUUGUAAAAUCAAACAUUGGCCACCAUUUAAUUUUAGCGAUUGGCGGAGAUCUGACAGUCGGAUUGUUCUGAAAUUUUAGGAUAUUGUUCUAGGAGAUUAUUGAGAGUCUUGGGAAGUUAUGCAUCGGAGAUCCAUGGGCAGAUGUUCUAGAUCGAAUUAUAUAGGGUUGUGGACCCCACCGUUGACAGAGAGUUGACUUUUGGUCAAUAUGUUACGAAUUGAUCUUAAAUAAUAAAAUUAGUAUUACUAGAUACUAAGUAGGGCUUAGUGGGCCUAUAUGGGUUGGUGAGCUAUCACAGGUAAUAUAUACCUCGGUAUACGUGUAUGGGAUGCUUUAUGGUGAUAUAUAUAUGUGUGUGUAAUUAACUUCUUGAUAAUACGAAUGAUACGAAUGAUACGAAUGAUAAUUUUUAUGACAAUGUGAGCCUAGAAACCUAUUAGAAGUAUCCUGGUAGAACUUGUAUGCUUAUGUGACAUGUUAGUUAGUGGCCAUGAGGAAUUGAUAGUGCAGGUGAUUACGUUGUAAAUCAUAGAGGUUGAGAUAUACGAGUAAGUAGGUUGUGUGGUGAUAAGAAUGGAUCAUGUAAUAAUGUGGUACGUGGGUGGUCCUGCUUGGUUAAUCUACAUUAGGGGACCACGCCAUGUGAUGCAGGGGUAUGGUCCGGUUUGGUUAAUACACAUUAAGGGACCAUACGCAUCAUAGGGGUGACCCUGCUUGGUUAAUCCGCAUUAGGGAGUCACUGCCUAGGCCAUUUCUUUAUUUCCAUAGUUGGUCUUACUUGGUUAAUCCGCAUUAGGGGACCAUACUAUGGACGAUCCUACUUGGUUAAUCUGCAUUAGGGGACCAUAUGCAUCAUGGGGGUGACCCUGCUUGGUUAAUCCAUAUUAGGGGGUCACUGCCUAUUCCAUUUCUCUAUUUCCAUAGUUGGUCAUGCUUGGUUAAUCUGCAUUAAGGGACCAUACUAUGGGCGGUCCCAAUUGGUUAAUCCGCAAUAAAGGAUCAUACUAUCGGAUACAUGCCUAUGGUUCUACUUGGUAUAUCUGCAAUAGGGGACCAUACGCAAUCUAUGAGUGAUUAUACUUGAUAUAUCCGCGAUGGGUGAUCAUUGCCUGCACAGUUGGAUUAUGCUUAUGAUUCUGCUUGGUAUAUUCGCAAUGGGAGACCAUACACAUUUUAGGGGUGAUGAGGAUUAGUUGUACUUGGUACAUUUCGAUAGGAGCCAUAUUUUAGUCGAAUUUCGUUGAGUGGUUCGAAAUCCUUACUCUUGCUUAUUUCCACAUAAUUAGUCUCGAACCCUAGAUUCGAGUGAAUGAGGAUUACUCACAGUAGACCUUAUGAAUAUAAAUUAGAUUUACCAUGUUAUUACUUAUAAAUCAAGUAAGGAAUUAUGUAGGGUUCUUUAAAUUAAUUCAUGAAAUGAUAUGUUACCUCAUUAAUUGAUUAACGUAGUUAAAUGUUAUUAUUAUGCAUCCUUGAUUCAUGAAAUUGAUUAAUUUACAUGAUUGUGGAAUGACAUUGGUUAUGGUUGGUGUUACUAUGAUUAGAUUAGUUGAUUAAUGUGGAUUGAGAAUAAUAUUGUGCUUCAUUGGUUCUUUGAUAUGAUACAUGUUGUGAAUUGAGGUAUCAUGUUGAAAACAUAGUGAUUUAUAUGAUCGAUGGAAUGGAAAUCUUGAAUGUCAUGUGGGUUUAUUUUGUAGCCCUGAACCUGGUAAUUUCAUGCUUUUCAAGUUCUAAUAAUUGAUUGAGGAAUGCUCUACUUUUAUGCUUAAACGUACUGUGAUAAACUCAGAGUGUAGUGAAUGGUGAACUACGAAUGACUUGAUCCCGUCUUUGGGUACAUAGGCAGUCUAACACAAAGGUUAGAUGCAGCCAUGAAAUAAAAGAAAAUGACUGCGUGGUUAAAUCAUAUUAUUUUUUUUCUUGUCUCGGAGACGAGACAUGAUGAAUAAACUAAGAUGUGCUGAUAUCACGUGUCGAUCUUGGACGUAUGUCGGGAUCGGGGCAUGACAAAAGUGACCACCGCCAUAAUCACCACCAUUGUUGCCACCACCACCACACUACAAUUGUGCCACCACCACCACCACCAUUGCCAUUGUUACCACCAUGCCAUCACCCCCACCAUAAACACAACCGCCACCACUGCUACCACAACUGCCAUCAUCACUGUUAUUGCCACCCCUACCACCGAUGUUGCCUCUGCAGCCCAACCACCACACCCCUUUAUUGGCACCACCACCACCAGCACCACACCAUCACAACCCUUGCCCUUAUCACCAUUGUCGUCGUCAUCACCAAUAUUGUUACGUCUAUUUUUGUCAUUAUAUACAAUUAUAAAUUAUCAAACGCUUUUACACUGUUUUUUAUACUCACAACACUUCUAAAAAUAUAGUUCAUCAAACACUAAACAACUUUAUUUUGUACCAGAUUAUUCUUAAAGCACAUCAGAAGCAGGUUUUUAAAAAAACACAUCAAUCUCAAAAUGGCCUUAAGAUUAUGGGUUUUUCAAUUGAGGUAAAUAUAUUAUGUAUUUGACCAAAACGAUUUUAAAUAAUUUGUCAUAAGAUGACGCGAAAGAAGAACGGAAAUGUGACACAUGAAAUUGAACCAAAGCAAAUGAUUUUCUUGGGUUUUAACACCCAUAUAUUUUUUUGUUGGUUUAUCAUUUUCACCAAGCUCCACCUCAUCUAUAAUCUUUAUGUAUUAUGUUCCGAUCCCGAAACCAAGCUCCACCUCAUCAAUAAUUAAAUAAUUUGAUGGCAUUACUUUUGUUUCCUUUCUCAAUUUAAAGGCCCAAACAAGAAACAAAGCAACACUAGACAAAGACCACUGCUGUAUAAUGGGUGUUUUAGAAACUCAAAAGGAAAGAAACUCAAAAGCUUCAAUUUGUUUGUCGUGCUCUUUUAACUUCCACUUUUACUGUUAUACAAGCGAAAACAAGAGAGAUUUAAUAUGAGUAAAGGGAUACUUUACUUCUUGAGAUACAAGUUUACUGUUGUAAUCUAGCAAGGUUUCUUCUAAGGAUCUUGGCUUUCUUUAUCUGUAAAGAAGAUGGGUUUUUGGUUGUUUAAUUAAUUUCUACCCAGAAUUGCAAGAUAAAAAGGGAUACAAAGGAGAAGACACACACACACGUGUUUUUUUAAAGAUGAUUACAUUUCCUGGAUAGAACUGAGAAGAUAUAUAAACCGGCAAACAAGUUUAUUUAUCUUAGGAAAGUAACAGUAUUUCCAUAUUCACUUUCAUGUUAUUACAACUUUCAUCUUAUUACAACUUUGAUGUCGAAAAUUAGAAAAUUUAAGGAAGGUGGUUUUCUUAUCAGUUAGGGUUUCUAUAAUGCGCGUUGAAUUCUUUAUCUAAGUAAGUUUUUAUCUGUUAGAUCACGACGGCUCACUGUCAAAUUAAAUGAAAAGUAAUGAAAGCACAAAACAGAAAACAAAAUAUCGUAGUUGACUGCUGGUAGGAUAAAUUUGCAGUUAAAUUUCAUCGAAAACAUUAAACUUGACAAGGAUUACCAGAACCAUAAAAUUACCACAUAACAAGUACACAAAGGAAACGAAAAACUUGAAACAAAAGUUCACAAACAAAUAACCAACGACAUAAGAAAACAGACUGCAUACUUUUAUUUAGACCAUUUUUUAGUACCCUCAAAACUAAUUGGCAAGUUAGUUAAUCCCCAUAAGUGACAAUGCUGUCCAUAAUCUUGGCCACUACCUCCUUAGAAUCCCUCAGUUUUUUUAUGCUUUUGUUAAGCUUCUCACGCUUUACUGCCACUGCCGGGGACUCCUCCAACAUCCUCUCAAUUCCCCCACCGUAAGGUCCCAACAACUCAUUCACAAUCUCAGCUUCCAUCUCUUUGUUCACAAGGUUGAAAACAGACAGCUGCAAGUGCAAUGCCAUGCAGUCCACAAGCCUCCUCAAAACAACCUUCCAAUAAGCAAUCAUUCUCAUUUUAAGGUCAUAAGCUUGAGCUAACACAUGCGGGUACUUCCUCAGAACACCGACUUCCACUUCCCCGAUGCCUUCUAUAUCUAUGAUAGAAGGCUUCUUCUCAUCAGUUAAGACUCCAUGAAUGAAUUCGUUUUGACUAGCCAUCAGCUUGUUCCAUUCGGAAACAUAAUCACCAUCACAUGUAUAAUCUGUCAGCUUUUCCAUCUCUACAAGCUCCAGCAUCCACUUGAUUGACCUCUCCUUCAUCUUGGCCAUUAGACUAUGGCCGGCACGCCUUGCUGACAGCUGCAGCUGAUGAUAGUUAUCCGUAUAAUGCAUCAACACAGAAAUAACCACCUCUUCAAUGUAGUUCCACACUUUUUCCUCAAAUGCAAUCGGAAUACUCGAAAUUUCAUUCACUUUUGCCUGCAAGAUAAUGAGGAAAGCAUUGCGUGGAAGGAAGUUCGGAAGUGAAAUACCUUUGGCCUCCUCCAAGAUCCUGAUCUCCUCCAUCAAGAAGUUGCUCUUUGCAUCAGUUUCAGCACAUCUGUGAAGUUCAUCCGAGUACUGGUUGAGCAUCUCAACCAAUCUAGCAGUGCAGUGCAUGCGAUUGUCUUCCGCGUACUCCUGAAAUUCUCCUCUCAAAAGAAUCUUCCUAAGCGAUUCCUUAGCCAAGCCAGUGAUUUGCAUAAAAGCCGUCAUGGCCUCAGCAACCGAUGAAAGACUCUUUGGCAUUUUGUUCAGCUCCAUAAUGCAGAAGUUCAGCCUGUCAUUGAUCUUCUUCACUAUCUCAGGUAUAUUUCUUGCUAUGCUGUUUGCUUGAAUUUGGACCAGCUUCUGUGCUAAAACUGGAAUGCCGACAAUGGACUUGUCAAUCUUCGAAAGCAGAGGAUGGGUUUGAAAUAGUUCAUGAGCCAUCACCGCUGCCUCCUCAUCAGUUUCGUCACCAAUCCUGUUCCUUACACAGACAUAACCAAGACCAAUGUUUACAUCAUCUCCAGUGACCUUCUCAAGUAGUCCUUCCGGUGCCUUGUCCACUUUCGUAACCACAGCGAGCGUCCUCUCACCAGUUUUAUCUACACUUUGUGACAUCCGGAUUGACUCACACGUAGUAAAAUCCACCGUAGCAGACAAUACAUUCAGAAUAAUACUUUCCUCCGGCUUAAUAUACUCCAUGAUCAUAUCUUUGAUCUGAUCAUAGAUAUUUUCAGGUUGGCCAUGGACUGGAACCCUUGUGAUUCCCGGAAGAUCAACCAUAGUCAGAUCCGGAACCCCAUACUUCUUCACCAACAAAGUAAGUGGCGUGUUUGAAAUUCCCUUACCUCCCCCCGCAAUAGAAUUAGUAGCUUUCACAAUAUCUUUGGUGAUAUUUUCUUCAUCAGUACGAUCAACUCUGCCAUUGUACUCCAAGGAAAGUUCAGGCUGAGGACUCGAGUGGUGUUCGAGCCUCAUAAUAAGAGGCACUCUCGUGCAGAUGCCUUGGCCCCGAGGUAGGCUGAUGCCGGCCAAGGAUUCGAGCACGCUAGACUUCCCGGAUGACUGGUCUCCGACCACCACAAUCGUUGGCAGCUGAAUGCCUUCAUCCAUCACCUUCAAGCUGCGUAACUUGUCUACCGCAUCCAGAAGAGGGCGGAUCUUGUCGUUAUAGGACGACACAAUGGGUGCGCAUUUGAGGGGUACUGCGUCUAGUCCUGCCUGAACCAUUGCGAGGGAGCCUUCACCGUUUAUAACUGUGCGACUCGAUUCCAUUUUCCUUGGUCCUUGCGUUUCUGAAUUAUAGCAAGUCAAAACAAUGGUGAAAAAUCUAGAGGGAAACCGAGAUUGUAGAGAGAUGAGAGAGAAUUCGAAGAUGGAAAAUGUUCUGUAUUGGGUUUAUGACUUAAUGGAGUAAAAUGUUCUAUUUAUAGCUACUGCUAUAUAUCAUUCUUAGCCCUUAAGCAACUUAACUGACUCUCAAUCAACAAUAGCAACACAUCUAACAAAAAUGCUACUUUUCCGAUAUAUUUGUACCAUCAUUUGCUUACAUUGAUAAAUCGGACUCAUACUCAUAAGCUGACAUGGCAGCCACAUGACUUAAAAGUAAGAAGAUUACUUGUCAGCGAAGAUAUCAGUCAGGAAGAAGUGAGAAAGCUGGGUUUAGUAAGUGCCUUAGGCUUAAAGGCUCCUAGUUGUAUGUAUAAUUGUUCAGCAAAACCUAUCGAAGUAAAUGACAACCAGCCUUUUCAAAACCGCAUGCUGAGAGAGUUGUGAUUUGGACUUCCAAACGUUCAGCAAACCAAACCGCUUGCGAGCCUUUGAACUUCUAAACCCUAAUCAGUGUAAAUGUAAUAUGGACAGUUAACUGAUAACCAUUUUUUGUGCUUGAUGCUCUUGAACUUCAGUCAACCUUUAUAUAUUAUUCAUUCAAAUAAUCGAUGACUAGCUAGCCAAUGUAAGUUGUAACCCAACAGAGACGAGAUGUUGAAGAAAAUUAAAUAUUUUUUGUAAUUUGGUAAGACAAACAAAGGCACCCAUUGGAGAAAGGGAAGUGCUAGCAGCCUUUGCCCUAACAUUUGUGUUUGGACCUCUUCACUUUAACAACUAACAGGUAUCAUUUUCUAUACAAAAAAGCAAGAAUUUUAAAGCUUUUGUCUAGGAAUUAACGAUGAGAAAUAUAAAAUAUACAUUAUUAUGUCAUUCAUUAAAAUGAAAAUUUUCAAAUGCAAAAGUUAGUGCAAAAGUGUAUUUCUCUUAGAAAAAUUCAAUCUAACAACCAAAAUUAAAGUUAACAAAAAAAAGUAGAGAACUUAAUUCAUAUUGAAUCUACCCUUAUGAUCGUGCUCCAGAAAAAUUGAGAAGGAUGCAGGGUUUUUGAAUUUGGUAAAGCUUAAGGAUUAAGGUUGCUGUUUUUUUUUUUUUUUUUUUUUUUUUUUUUUUUUUUUGGAGAAAAGUGGAAGAGAAAGAGCCUUUGAAGAUUCCUUUCUGAGUUUUCACAUUGUGGGGAUUUUGUUUCACUUUUACCAUUGUAAGACCAUAGAUAAUGGAUGCUGACAUGGUUGGACAGAUGUCGAAUAGUGGUGUGGUAUGCCCAAUCGGUUUAGGUUGCUGAAAAUAGCAACUUUAACUAAAAAUAGUGCAGGACUUUAAAAGAGGAAGGGGAAAUAAGAGUUUGAGGAAAAAGAGGCAACUUUAAUUCAUCAUUUCAUAGGUUCUUUACGCUCUCCAUUAUUACAUAUUUAUGCUCCUCAUAAAAGAGAAAAUAGAGUUUUAACGAAAAGCCCGCGGUACUGUUCACUUUAAUGAAAAACCACAUUUUUACACUAAAAAGUCAAAUCUGGUACUAUUCAUAUUACUCUUUAUUUUGUUCUUAUCGUUAAAAUUCAAAGUUUUAAAGCAUUUUUCAUUAGUUUUCCUAAGAGAACAACCCUAGCUACUUGGACAUAAAAAAAAAGGCUAGUACGGGCAAGUUGCAAGAGGAGAAGUAGUGGGCUCAAGUAAAUGGGCUUAAUAACUCCCCCCUCUCCUUGAGAAUAGGCCUGACCUUAGGUCAAGAAAUCGAGGUAACGGGCCAAGAUGUCGUCAGCUUCCUCCCAGGUGACAUCUUCAGUGGGUAGGCCAACCCACUUGAUCAACCAUUUUGUCGCAGCUUUAUUUUUUUUUCUUGAAUAUGCCCUUGUCUAAAACUCUUUCUGGUUGCCAGUGUAGAACCCCAGUGGAGUCGAUAGGAGGCAAAACUGACAGUGGAGGAGAAAUACUACCAAUCUUUUGUUUAAGGAGAGACACAUGAAAGACGGGGUGGAUUUUGGAGUCUAAAGGCAAACGAAGCUGAUAUGCUACGAAACUGAUGCGCUUAGUUAUCUGAAAAGGUCCAUAGAACUUGGGUGCCAGCUUGUUUGUUGUUCUAGUAGCCACUGAUUGUUAGCGGUAUGGUUAAAGCUUCAGGUAAACCCAGUCACCAACAUUAAAUUCCCGCUCAGUUCUCUUGUUAUCAUAGACUUGUCUCAUUUUGUUCUCUGCAAGCUGCAAAUUUGUUCUCAUAAGACAGAUUAAUUUGUCCUUAUCCUGUAUUGCAGCAUCAAUUGAGUGUACCGUCGUGGAGCCGAGCAUAUACAUGCAAAGGUGGUUCAAUGUCAUAAACAGCCUGAUAUAGAGACAUUUUGAUGGAAGAUUGGAAGCUUGUAUUAUACCACCAUCUAGCCCAGGGAAUGAGAGAAGACCAAUUGGUGGGUUUGUCUAUUGAGAAACAUCGAAGAAAAUGUUCCAAUGUGCAGUUAAGGACUUUCAUUUGCCUAUUCGUUUGAGGGUGGUAACCUAAACUUAGGCAAAGUUUGUUGCCUUGGAGUUUAAAGAACUCUUGCCAAAAGUUACUAAGAAAAUUGGGUCGCGAUCUGAAACGAUCUAUUUUGGCAUACCAUGGAGUCAGAAAACCUCAUUGCUGAAAGUAUCAGCUACAAAGGCAACUGUGUAUGGGUGCUUUAAUGGGAUAAAGUGGCCAUACUUUGAUAGGCGAUUGAUGACAACUAGGAUCACGGUGUACGCGUUGGAAAAUGGGAGCCCUUUGACAAAAUCAAGAGUGAUGUCCUGUCAUAUGCCAGUGGGGAUGAGCAAGGGAUGCAGUAACCUAGGAGGGUGUUUUGUAUGCAUUAAGCCACAAUUUUUUUUUGUUUCCUUUCGAAUUCCCGGCCAUAAAACUUUUUUGGAGAGUCUUUUGUAUGUUCAAAGGAAGCCCAAGUGACCAUCUUAGAGAGAUGCAUGGAAUUCAUCCAAGAGUUUAGGUUGCCAUUGGGAUGUGAGUAGUGGGACAAAGAUCUGUUGCUUGUAGUGCAACACAUCAUUUAUAAUUGAGAACCCUUUGAUUGAAGUGUUGGGUAUUGGAACUAAAAGAUUCCAAACCUUUUGCACUUCUAGAUCCUAUGCAUAAGACUGUUGCAACUGAGGAAUGCAAUCAAAUAUAGGGGUAGAGAGGCCUAUUAAGAGCAAAAGUUCUUGUUGGCAGGAGAUAGCAUAUGGAGCACUGUUUUGAGAACCCGACCUAUACUCGACCGAGUAGUUGUACCCCAACAAUUUCACCAGCCAUUUUUAAUUUUUUUCACAAAAACUGUAAGUUAUAACUCACGUUUUCCAAUCGAUUUUAAGAACUUUUACAAGAUUCAUUAUAAGCCAAAAUUUGAGUCGUUUUAGUCGCACCACAUGUUUUCUAAAAUUAAUUUAGGACAUCCCAAAUAUUUUUCAACACCUACAAAUUUCUUUGGUGGCUUCACUAUUAGUUUAUACUAUUUUUCUAACUCAUAGUAACAACGAAAAAAUUUCUCAGCAUGACCAAAAUGAUUGAUGGUGCAUCAGAGACUACUUUUAUCGAUUUCAAAUUUGAAGGACUAAAGUAAGGAGUUAUGCCAGAAAGUGGCCCUCUACCACAGUGGUGGAGAGGAGUAUUGGCCUUACACUACGACAGAGCUUCGAACCAUGACGGCUCCCUAAUCUAACAUCUAAUUAAAAAAUCUAUUGUUUGACGAAGAAAAAAAAGUAAGGAGUUAUGUCAAUUUCAAAAUCCGUUUUGGCCCCUUUUUAACAUGGAUGGAGGGUUUCAAAUUCCUUGUUACUACCUUUUAGGGGUUUUAUUAAAUUUUAUGAAUUUUUUUGUUGGUAUAUUUGAGCGUGUCUUUAAAAUGAUUAAAAUUGUUUUAAUAUAAUAAAAUAAAAAGUGUUUAUGACAACAUUUUGACCAAAAAAAGGACUUUAUGGAGAGGUCUAUGAGCAAAAUGCAACUCUUACUACCUAUUUGUACUAUAAUUUGUACCACUAAUAAAGAUGAGACUCACAUGCGUUGGCGAGCCUUACCUCUAUUAGAGAUAUAGUAGAAAUAUAUGGUAAAUGUAGCAUUACUCGUCUAUGAGUGUUUUCAACGGAGUACAAUUCUCUGUCAUCCUAUUCCUAGUGUGGUUUAGUCCAUACUAAGUGUAUGGAUUCUAACAAACGAUCAAUUAAAACAUGAAAUCUAAUAUGGACAUUUAAUUAAAUGUUUAUUAAUAUUUACGGUGCGGUUCGGUUUCGGUGUAGUUUUCAAAAGCCAAAACCGAAACCAAACCGUUUUCUAUGUUGCGGUUCGGUUUCAAAACCGAAACCGUUUCAAAACCGCAAAACCAAACCAUUCGGUGCGGUUUGAUUUGGUUCGUGUUUUGGUUUCGGUUUUCGGUUCUAAGUGCCAAUCCCUAGGAGAGCGUGUCCCUUUUUUUUGAAAAAUAUGGAUCAUUUCCCUUAAGCUCCUCCUACACACACACACACACACACACACACACACACACACACAUAUAUAUAUUAAAAUGAUAACCUUUCUUGGAUAGAACUGAGCAUAUAAACAUGCAAAGGUAAUGUUAGAGAGACCAAAGUUUUAAACAAAAUAAUGUGUUACCAAUAAAAAAUAAGCACGUUAAUCAACGCUAAAGUAAUAAUUCAAUUAUCAAUAAGCACAUCAUUUGGUUUGUAAAUUUGAUUUAAAAAAUUUGGUCUCCCUAACAUUAUCCAACCUGCAAACAAGUUUAAUUAUCUUAGACAAGCAACAUUAUUUACAUAUUUACUUUCAGGCAAUUACAAAUUUGACGUCGAAAAGAAGAUUUAAGGAAAAUGGUUUUCUUAUUAAUUAGGAUUUUUACAAUGCGUGUCGCAUUCUUUACCUAAAGUUUUUAUGUCUGUCAGAUUGGUUAUGAAAGCUCACUGUCAUAUUAAUAAACGGUAUUAUAAGCAGAAAACAUGAGACAAAAAAUAGGAGUUAAACUGUAUGUAAGAGGAAAUCGCACUUAAAUUUCAUUAAUAACAGUAAACUUGACAAGGAUUACCACAAUCAUACGACUACGGACUAUUACACAACAAGAACACAAGGGAAACAAAAGAACUUAAAAACAAAAGUUGACUAACAAACAACCACCCACAUCAGACAACAGAAAGCUAAUUGCCAAGUUAGUUAAUCACCAUAAGUGAUAAUGCUGUCCAUAAUCUUGGCCACCACCUCCUUCGAAUCCCUCAGUUUUUUUAUGCUUUUGUUAAGCUUCUCACGCUUUACUGCCACUGCCGGGGACUCCUCCAACAUCCUCUCAAUUCCCCCACCGUAAGGUCCCAUCAACUCAUUCACAAUCUCAGGCUCCAUCUCUUUGUUCACAAGGUUGAAAACAGACAGCUGCAAGUGCAAUGCCAUGGAGUCCACAAGCCUCCUCAAAACAACCUUCCAAUAAGCAAUCAUUCUCAUUUUAAGGUCAUAAGCUUGAGCUAACACAUGCGGGUACAUCCUCAGAACACCGACUUCCACUUCCCCGAUGCCUUCUAUAGUUAUGAUAGAAGGUUUAUACUCGUCAGUUAAGACUUCAUGAAUGAAUUGAUUUUGACUAGCCAUCAACUUCUUCCAUUCGGAAACAUAAUCAUCAUCACAUGUAUAAUCCGUUAGCUUUUCCAUCUCUACAAGCUCCAGCAUCCACUUGAUUGACCUUUCCUUCAUCUUGGCCAUUAGAUUAUGGCCGGCACGCCUGGCUGACAGCUGCAACUGAUGAUAGUUCUCCGUAUAAUGCAUCAACACAGAAAUAACCACCUCUUCAAUGUAGCUCCACACUUUUUCCUCAAAUGCUAUCGGAAUACUCGAAAUUUCAUUCACUUUUCCUUGCAAGAUAAUGAGGAAAGCAUUGCGUGGAAGGAAGUUCGGAAGUGAAAUACCUUUGGCCUCCUCCAAGAUCUUGAUCCCCUCCAUCAAGAAGUUGCUCUUUGCACCAGUUUCAGCACAUAUGUGAAGUUCAUCCGAGUACUGUUUGAGCAUCUCAACCAAUCUAGCAGUGCAGUGCAUGCGAUUGUCGUCCGCAUAGUCCUCAAAUUCUCCUCUCAAAAAAAUCUUCCUAAGCGAUUCCUUAGCCAAGCCAAUGAUUUGCAUAAAGGCUGUCAUUGCCUCGGCAACAGAUGAAAGACUCUUUGGCAUUUUGUUCAGCUCCAUAAUGCAGAAGUUCAGCCUGUCAUUGAUCUUCUUCACUAUAUCGGGUAUAUUUCUUGCUAUGCUGUUUGCUUGAAUUUGGACCAGCUUCUGUGCUAAAACUGGAAUACCGACAAUGGACUUGUCAAUCUUCGAAAGCAGGGGAUGGGUUUGAAAUAGUUCAUGAGCCAUCGCCGCUGCCUCCUCAUAAGUUUCGUCACCAAUCCUGUUCCUUACACAGACAUAACCAAGACCAAUGUUUACAUCAUCUCCAGUGACCUUCUCAAGUAGUCCUUCCGGUGCCUUGUCCACUUUCGUAACCACAGCGAGCGUCCUCUCACCAGUUUUAUCUACACUUUGUGACAUCCGAAUUGACUCACACGUAGUAAAAUCCACCGUAGCAGACAACACAUUCAGAAUAAUACUUUCUUCCGGCUUAAUAUACUCCAUGAUCAUAUCUUUGAUCUGAUCAUAAAUAUUUUCAGGUUGGCCAUGGACCGGAACCCUUGUGAUUCCCGGAAGAUCAACCAUAGUCAGAUCCGGAACCCCAUUCUUCUUCACCAACAAAGUAAGUGGCGUGUUCGAAAUUCCCUUACCUCCUCCCGCAAUAGAAAUAGUAGCUUUCACAAUGUCUUUGGCGAUAUUGUCUUCAUCAGUACGAUCAACUCUGCCAUUGUACUCCAGGGAAAGUUCAGGCUGAGGACUCGAGUGGUGUUCCAGCCUCAUAAUAAGAGGCACUCUCGUGCAGAUGCCUUGGCCCCGAGGGAGGCUGAUGCCGGCCAAGGAUUCGAGCACGCUGGACUUCCCCGAUGACUGGUCUCCGACCACCACAAUCGUUGGCAGCUGAAUGCCUUCAUCCAUCACCAUCAAGCUGCGUAACUUGUCUACCGCAUCCAGAAGAGGGCGGAUCUUGUCGUUGUAGGAUGACACAAUGGGUGCGCAUUUGAGAGGUACUGCGUCUAGUUCUGCCUGAACCAUGGCGAGGGAGCCUUCACCGUUUAAAUCUGUGCAACUCGAUUCCAUUUGCCUUGGUCCUUCCGUUUCUGAAUUAUAGCAAGUGAAAAUAAUGGUGAAAAUUCUAGAGAGAAACCGAGAUAAUUUCAAGCUUAAUUAGCUAAAGAAUUGAGGUUCUCUGGCAGUUUACCCUCCAGUUUAUAACAUUUUUUUACUAAGAAUGUUUUCAGGUAAGGGAAAACACCACUUUCGUGAUCCAGUAGGAAACGGAGCCUUUCUUUCAACCGCUGCAUUUCCACAAACUCAAGAGACUCUAAUACCCGAAAAGGCAAGUUACGCUCUCCUUAAAACUCAGCACCAAUUCGAAGAUGGAGUAAAAUGUUCUGUAUUGAGUUUGUGACUUAGUGGAGUAAAAUGUCCUAUUUAUAGUGAUGCAGUACAAGACUCUCAUGCAUGUAUUGGAAUCUACCAAGAGUUGGAACCAUCAAAUAUAUUUAAUGGAGUUUUAGAGCAACACAACUAAUUAAGUAGUCAUUUAAGACCAUUUUAAAUAUUUUGGGUAGAGCAAAAGUCCAAUUCGGACUAGAGUUUCAUUGUGUUGUAUUCCUUAUAAAUAUAUGUACUAAUUGUAUUCCUUAAAUGACUACUUAAUUAGUUGUGUUGCUCUAAAACUCCAUUAAAUAUAUUUGAUGGUUCCAACUCUUGGUAGAUUCCAAUACAUGCAUGAGAGUCUUGAUUACUACAUCAUUUAGCUACUGCUAUGUGUCAUUCUUAGCCUUCAAGCAGCUUAACUGACUCUCAGUCAACAAUAACAACACAUCCAACAGCUUAAGGAUUGCUGUUUUUAGUGGAGAAAUGUGGAAGAGAAAGAGCCUUUGAAGAUUCCUUUAUGAGUUUGCACAUUGUGGGAGAUUUUGUUUCACUUUUACCAUUGUCAGGCCAUAAUCAUGGAUGUUGACAUGGUUGGACAGAUGUCGAAUGAUGGUGUCAUUGGGCCCCCACCAUCAAAGAAAAAGCAGUCCCCAUGGGGCAUCUAAGCGGAAAGAGAAUCCAUUAUAGUAUAAAGAUUUAGCAUUCACACUCAUAGCUUCGACAUCAAUCAUUUUCUUCCUUGCCGAUGUUCUUUAUAUUUUGCUUUCUUUAUUUCUUGAUAAGUUGUUUCUGGAUGAUAUUUUUUUAGAAUCUCUUGGAUGUCGUAUGCGUGCUACGUCACUCGUUUGUAUCAAAACACGCAUAAACAUUAUUUCUUUCAAUCGAGAUUUAAAAUUAAAAGUCUACAUACACUUUUUUGUUGUAAUUUGACUGAUGGACCAUAAUGUUGGAUUGUGAACUACCUUAGUACAUAUGUGUAGAAGUGUGGCAGGUGACGUAAGCAUAAAUAAUCAUUUUAACAUGCAUGUUAGCAAAAUGUUAAAUUGUGUUUAAUCAUAUUAAAUUAAUUUAUGUAUUGGUUUUGUUCAGGUAUAAUAAAAUUAAAAACACAUGUAUAAACUUAGUGUAAGUUUUAGGAUUCUCACCUUUAGAUUUCAUAGGUGGACAAAUUCAAUGUUGUUAAAGAUCCCAAGUGUUAGCCCUCAACUAGUGUCUACACGAAUAAAUAUCUGGCUAGUGAAGCAAAAAAACGACAAUUUGCUAGAACUUUAUCCAUCAGGUAGGUGUUGCCAUAAAGGGAUUUGGUAUGGUGUUUUGUUUUUCAAUUCUCUAAAUUGGAAAACCUAUUUCUUUUCUCUCUAAUAUCUAUUUGCGAUUAUUGAAUUCUCACACUAUGUUACAUAGACCCCUUAGGCUUAUAAAAAGAACAAUCUGUAAUUAAGCCAAUUGUGUGUUGCACGCCCUAGGGAAAUUUUUUAGAAACUUUUGGGUUCACUAGUCUGUAUCACGUCACUCGCUUGUCUCAAGAAGAGAUCCUUUCACAUCACCAGUUUACCACACUAAAAUUUUGAAUUUAUUAGAUGGAUAAUACAAUUUGUUUAAUAAAUGACCAACUUUACAAAUAUUUUUGUGAAGUGAUUUCACACAUAUUUUUUAGCUUUUACACACCCAUGUUUAAUUUUAGAUGUUGAUUCCGUUUGAUUUAUUUAAUCUGGUGGCCAUAAAUAAAGAGAGGUACGUGGAAAACUAAAAAUGGUGUGUGAAAAUCCUUGACACUACUAAGCAUGAAUUUUAGUAAGAUGAAAAAAGACCUUCGCUUGAUACCCGUGGGAGGACGUGACAUGACUUCCUUUAUUGAAGGAUGAGGAAUGCUAAUGUGACUUUCAAAAGUAGGACUUUCUAAUGACUCUCUGCCACCUCAUAGCUAGUUUAAUGUCAAUUCAUUCACGUGCCAACAUUAUAACACAAAUGCUAGGAAGGCUACAUUUAUAGACAAAAUUUGUAUACUAAAUGACAUGAAAGUUGAUGAUUAUAUUAUUAUUUAAGCGUUGAUAAACGUGCUCAUUUUCUAUUGGUAACAAGUCAUUUAGUUUUCAAAUUUUGUCUACAAAUUUAGUCUCCAUAGCAUUACCUGCAUUAUAAAGUAUUGUGCCAAAUAUAUGAGCUGACAAAGAGUCCAUAGAGAGUCUCAAUUUUGAGUCUCAUUAGCAUUUAUCUUCAAGAAUUUAUCCACAUUCUCCUCACGUAAUAAUUUCACCAAAAAUGUUUUCUAAAUGCUCACUUAUCAAGAUUAAACCCCCGUUUGGUAUUUUAUUUUUUGGGUAAAAGACUGUUUACUACCCUCAUGUUUCGUGGUUUUCAACAUUUAGUACAUCAUGUUUUUUUCGUCUCAGAGUCAUACCUAAAGUGUAAAUUUUGGGACAGUCUCAUACAUCCGUUAGUCAAACUGUUAAGUUUUUCGUUAACUGUGACGUGGCGCACUGACUGGGCGCCACGUGUCAUCCACGUUUUUUUUUUUUCUUUUUCUUUUUUCUUUCUUUUCUUUUCUUCUUCUUCCUUCUUCUUCUUCUUCCUCCGACUGCAACUUUUUUUUUUUUUUUUGCUUCUUCCUUUUCCUUCUUCCUUCCUUCCUCCUUCCUUUCCCUUUCUUCCCCUUCUUCCUUCUUCUUCCUUCUUCUUCCUCCGAAAUCUGGGGAAUGUUUUUUUUUUUCUUUCUUCUUCUUCCUCCUUCCUUCCCCUUCUUCCUUCUUCUUCUUUCUCCUUCUUCUUCUUCUUCUUCUUCCUCCGAAAUCUGGGGAAGUUUGUUUUUUUUUUUCUUUCUUUCUUCUUCUUCCUCCUUCUUCUUCUUCUUCUUCUUCCUCAAAAAAAAAAAAAAAAAAACACUUUUAUCUUUUCUUCCUCUUCUUCUUCUUCUUCUUCUUCUUUCUCUUUCCUCCUUCCUUCUUCUCCUUCUUCUUCUUCUUCUUCUUCUUCCUCCGAAUCUGCCCAGAUUCAAUUUUUUUUUUCUUCCUCCUUCUUCUCCUUCUUCUUCUUCUUCCUCCGAAUUUGGGGGAAGAUGAAAGUGUUUUUUUUUUUUUGAGGAAGAAGAAGAAGAAGAAGAAGAAAGAAAGAAAAAAAAAAAAAACAUUCCCCAGAUUUCGGAGGAAGAAGAAGGAAGAAGAAGGAAGAAGGGGAAGAAAGGGAAAGGAAGGAGGAAGGAAGGAAGAAGCAAAAGGAAGAAGCAAAAAAAAAAAAAAAAAAACAAAAACAGAAAGUUGCAGUCGGAGGAAGAAGAAGAAGAAGGAAGAAGAAGAAAAGAAAAGAAAAAAAAAAGAAAAAAAAAAACGUGGAUGACACGUGGCGCCCAAUCAGUGCGCCACGUCACAGUUAACGAAAAACUUAACAGUUUGACUAACGGAUGUAUGAGACUGUCCCAAAAUUUACACUUUAGGUAUGACUCUGAGACGAAAAAAACUUGAUGUACUAAAUGUUGAAAACCACGAAACAUUAGAGUAGUAAACAGUCUUUUACCCUUAUUUUUUUCAACAAAAGUUGCUUCACUUUAAAGUUAAGCAGUAAGAAUGUGUUUGGUAAAAAUAAAUUAUUUUGCUUAUAUUAAAAGUAAUGCAUGUCCUCCAGACAGCAACUUUUAAAAGCAGCAUGUAGGUAAAGCUGUUUUUAAUAAAAAGCAGAAUUGAGCUUUCAAUGAAUAUUUUUAAUUCCUGUAAUAUGCUCAAUAAUUUUAGAAAAUAACAUUAUUUAUUCUUGUAGGCACAUUUUAUCAUUGGAGAACAAAGUGACCACCACUAUAAACCCUAACCUCUUACACUACCAUUGCCAUGAUCACCACCAUUGUUGCCACCACCACCACACUACAAUUGCGCCACCACCACUACAACCAUACACACCACCGCUACCUUUGCCAUCAUUACCACCACACCGCCGCCGCCGCCGCCACCACCACCAUAAACACAACUGCCACCAUCAAUGUUGUUGCCACCCCUACGACCAAUGUUGCCUCUGCAGCCCAACCACCACCACCAUCCCAACCCUUACCCUUAUCACUGUUGUCGUCGUCACCACCAACAUUGUUACGUCUAUUUUUGUCAUUAUAUACAAUUAUAAAUUAUCAAACGCUUUUACGCCGUUUUUCAUACUCAACACUUUUAAAAAUACAAUUCAUCUAACACUCAACUGCUUUAUUUUGUAGCAGAUUAUUCUUAAAGCACAUCAGAAGCACUUUUUUUUAAAGCACAUCAAUCUCAAAAUGGCCGUAAGAUUAUGAGUUUUUCAAUUGAGAUAAAUAUAUAAUUUAUUUGACCAAAACGAUUUUAAAUUAUUUGUAAUAAGAUCACGCGAAAGAAGAACAUAAACGUUACACAUGAAAUUAAACCAAAGCAAAUGAUUUUCUUGGGUUUUAACACCCAUAUAUUUUUUGUUGGUUUAUCAUUUUCACCGAGCUCCACCUCAUUUAUACUUAAAGAAAUGUAUUAUGUUCCGAUCCAGAAACCAAGCUCCACCUCAUCAAUACUUGGAUAAUUUGAUGCAUUACUUUUGUUUCCUUUCUCAAUUUGGAGGCCCAAACAAGAAACAAAGCUACACUAGACAAAGACAACUGCUGUAUAGUGGGUGUUUUAGAAACUUAAAGGAAAGAAACUCAAAAGCUUCAAUUUGUUUGUCGUGCUCCUUUAACUUCCUCUUUUACUGUUAUACAAGCGAAAACAAGAGAGAUUUAAUGAGUAAAGGGAUACUUUACGCCUUGAUAUACAAGUUUAUUGUCAUGAUCUAGCAAGGUUUCUUCUAAGGAUCUUGGCUUUCUUUGUCUAUAAAGAAGUUGGGUUUUUGGUUGUUUAAUUAAUUUCUACUAGAAUUGCAAGAUAAAAAGGGAUACAAACACUACAAGAAAGCCGGGCUUAUGUGACGACAGAUAUUCGUCAUAGAAAAUAAAAAUGCGUCACAUUUGAUAAUAUGUGACGCCUUUACAGCGUCACUGCGAACGUCACCUAUGAUGCGUCACGGAAAGUAUAAGUGACUAAUUUUAAAAGCGCCACAUAUUUGUAGUAUAUGUGACACUGUUUUCGUCAAUUAAUAGGAGAUUGUGACGGAUUAGGCGUCACAAAAGAAUAAAUUAUGUGACCUAUAUAAUUCGUAAUGUAUGAAAUAGAUAAGUGACACUGAAGGCGUCACAUUUUUCUUCCAUUUGUGGCAUAGCUUGGGUCACUUAUGUCAAAAUAAAAUAUCUAUUUUGAAAAUAUAUGUGACAAACCAAUACAAUUCCCUAUUUAUAAUAUGAUGUUACAAUUCCUUGUUUAUAAAAAAGAAUCAAUUAUGUGACCUAUAUAAUUCGUCACUUAUGAAAUAGAUAACUAACACUGAAAGCGUCACAUUUUUCUUCCAUUUAUGGCACAGCCUGGAUCACUUAUGUCAAAAUAAAAUAUCUAUUUUGGAAAUAUAUGUGACAAACCAAUACAUAUUCCCUGUUUAUAAUCUGAUAUUACAAUUCAUUGUUUAUAAAAAAGAAUAAAUUACAUGACCUAUAUAAUUUGUCACUUAUGAAAUAGAUAAGUGACGCUGAAAGUGUCACAUUUUUCUUCCAUUUGUGGCGUAGCCUGGGUCAUUUAUGUCAAAAUAAAAUACCUAUUUUGGAAAUAUAUGUGAUAGACCAAUACAUAUUCCCUGUUUAUAAAGGAUCAAGGGACAAACAUUUUGACAAACAUAUAUAUAUAUAUAUAUAUAAUAUAUAUAUGUUUUUUUUUUUAAGAUGAUAACAUUUCCUGAAUAAAACUGAGAAGAUAUAUAAACCGGCAAGCAAGUUUAUUUAUCUUAAGAAAGUAACAGUAUUUCCAUAUUCACUUUCAGGUUAUUACAACUUUGACGUCGAAAAAAUAAGAACAUUUAGGGAAGAUGUUUUUCUCAUAAGUUAGGGUUUCUUCAAUGUUUGUCGGUUUCUUUACCUAAGUAAGUUUUUAUCUGUCAAAUUAGUUACGAAGGCUUACUGUCAAAUUGAAUGAAAGGUAAUGAAAGCAGAAAAUAGAAAACAAAAUAUCGGAGUUGACUAUUGGUAGGAUGAAUUUGAGUUAAAUUUCUUUGAAAACUUUAAAAUUGACAAGGAUUACCAAAACUAUACAAUUACCACAUAACAAGAACACAAAGGAAACUACGAGCUUGUUUGGUAUCCUAUUUGAAAAUUAUUGUCAUUUCUCAAAACAUUUCUUGAAAACAAUUUUCUUUAAGACUAAAAAACUUGACUGGUUUGCGAUUUACAAUUUUUAAAUCUUACAACUAAAAUUAGGCAAAGAGAUCUAAAAAGAGGGGAUCGUAGGAGAGGGAGAAAGAGGAGAGAAGAGGAAAGAAAGCAAGAGAUGAUUGAAGAAAAGAGAAAGAAGAGAGAGAAUCGAACAAAAGAGAGAGGAAGAGGAGUGAGAGAAAGAACAUAGAGAAUGAAAAGAGCAGAUUGAAAGAGAGACGAAACAUGUAAAAAAAUAAAAAUAAAGAGGAGAGAGAGAGAGAAGAAAAGAGAGAGAUUUGGAGUGAGAGGGGAGAAGGGAGAGAAGAAAAAAAAGUGUGAGUUUAAGUUUAAAAACUCUAAAAACUCACUUUUUAUGUUUUUAGAUAAUAGACUAUAUUUUUGAGUUAGUCUUGAGUUUAGUUUUUUAAGUAGUCUUACCAAAGACUAAAACUUGAAAAUUGUUUUUGAGUUUAAAAAAUUGGAUUCAAGGAAAGUAUCAAACAGACGCUAAAAAACUUGAAACAAAAGUUUACAAACAAACAACCAACGACAUAAGGAAAACAGACUGCAUACUUUUAUUUACACCAUUUUGUAGUACCCUCAAAACUAAUUGGCAAGUUAUUUAAUUACCAUAAGUGAUAAUGCUGUCCAUAAUCUUGGCCACUACCUCCUUAGAAUCCCUAAGCUUUUUUAUGCUUUUGUUAAGCUUCUCACGCUUUACUGCCAUUGCCGGCGACUCCUCCAACAUCCUCUCGAUUCCCCCAUCGUAAUGUCCCAUCAACUCAUUCAUAAUCUCAGCUUCCAUCUCUUUGUUCACAAGGUUAAAAACAGACAGCUGCAAGUGCAAUGCCAUGAAGUCCACAAACCUCCUCAAAACAACCUUCCAAUAGGCAGUCAUUCUCAUUUUAAGGUCAUAAGCUUGAGCUAAAACAUGCGGUUACUUCCUCAGAACACCGACUUCAACUUCCCCGAUGCCUUCUAUAGCUAUGAUAGAAGGUUUAUUCUCGUCAGUUAAGACUCCAUGAAUGAAAACAUUUUGACUAGCCAUCAACUUGUUCCAUUCGGAAACAUAAUCAGCAUUGCAUGUAUAAUCUGUCAGCUUUUCCAUCUCUACAAGCUCCAGCAUCCACUUUGACACGCCCUGAUCCGGAUGUCCUGGAGACAUCGGGAUAGUCACGUGCUGGCCGACACCCGAGGGGUGACGAAAGCCAUUUAAAAGGCAUAAGAACGAGAAAUAUGAAUUUAAUAUAACAUUUAAUAGGCAUUUAAGGAACGUGUUCAGAGCAUAUAACUAAUUAGAAUACUAGGAAAAAAAUGAUAUAAAAAUUGAAUAAACAAAAGGAGUGGGUCCUACACCGAGAGGACUCGAAGAUGCCAAUGUAGAAGUGUCUUGACGCCGGGAUUGUAUGCCUCGAUUCUAAGCCCUGAAGGGGGCGCAAAACAAAGGUGAGUGGACCAGUUUGAUAUACAUAUAAUAAAACAGUUAUCAACAUACUAACCCCCUGAUUUUUAUGAAAACACAUAUAUGUAUCAUGAUAAACAUAAGUUUUCCGAAACCUAGAAUGUCGUGCAAUAUCUCAAAUCAUAACUCGCAAAACAUAAUAAACACUAGUGUCAAAUGUCCACAUAUAUCCAUCCAGGCCCUAUGUCAUCUCCCCAUCCCUGAGCAUACAGUCAAAGAAAAUAUGACUUCAGGCCCUAUGCUAGCUCCACUGUCCCUGUUCUAAAUAGUCAGAGGGAAAUACACUCCAGGCCCUAUGCCAACUCCACCGUCGCCCGGGAUGGACCGAAAUCUAUCCCUACAUCCCGUAGCGGAAAUUGGGACAGCUAGGUAAUACAGAAUCAUCGCACAUAUAUUUAUUCAAAAGUAACAUCAUAUAUCAUUCUUAUAAACUCAUGCUUUUUAUGCGUGCAAUUCUACUAAUAAAGCAUGUAUUUUAGAAGGGGUCCACUCACAGUACUUCACCGUCGAAAGCCGCGCUGCUAACAAAGAUAGAAACGCCACAAUAAUUGCCCCUAAGCACAUAAACGUUCCAAUUAAUAAAUCUUUAUUAAAACAAUUGAAUUUGAGAAAACGGACGUCGAAAACGGAUUCAAGACGUUGAAUUACCUUAAGAAGGGUCCUGGAUAAAUUUCGUAAACGUCAAUAGAAUAUUCCACAUCAAGAGUUUGGGCCGGCUAGGGUUUAAGGGUUUAGUGCUUAAGGCCCUAGGUUAAAAAGGUUUGGGUUAGACUUUUAAAAAGGUUAGGCUUAGGUUAAAUAGGUUUAGGGCUUAGGAAGUUGGGUUGGGUCCUUAAGGGUUUUGGGUUUCUAGGUUAAAGGGUUAGGAAAUUGGGUUGAUAAAAAGGGCCUAGGGUAAAUAAUUGGGUUUGGGCUUAAAAGGGUCACGGAUUGGGCUGGAGACCCGUGGGUUUUGGGCUGGUUUCAAAGGACUUGGGUCGAGUUGAUUCGUUUUCAGGCCAAUGAAAUGGUCGAUUUCUGGGUAUCACUUCGAACGCCCAUAACUUCUUCGUUACUCAUCCAAAAUAAGUAAUCCAAACAUGAAAGUUGUAGUACUCGACGAGAUGAAGAGAUUGAUACCCUGCACUCCGCCAAACUCUCCGUGGUUUGGCCGGAAAACACCUCGAAAGGGGCGGUGCUCGUCGGAAAACUGGGUUUUUUGGCCGAAUGUUUGGGUAAUUUUCAAAGCUUUGUAACUUCUUCGUUUCUUAACCACAUUGAGUGAUUCAAAAUCUAAAAUGUAGUUAGGAAUGUGGAGAAGAGGUUCAUACCAAGUGAGGACCGAGUGGUUACCGGAGUUCACCGAAAAACGACCUGAAAAAUCAUAGCAAAAGACAGCAUAGUGAAAGAGGCUUGAGUUGUAGUGCUAGUUGCUGGAGUCGAAGAAGGGGUUGUGGUAGUGAGAGUAGAAAGAAACGGAGCGGAGGGAGUUGGGAAAGAUUGUGAGGUCGGUUUUGAGGUGGCAUUGGAGAAACUAGUGGAGAAACCAAAAGAGGAUUGCAAAGCGGAGGAAGCCAGAGUUCCGAAGGAAGAGAAUCUGGAAACGGUUAUUGAUGGGGGAGCAGCGGUGGUGGGAGCAGAGGUUGUGGGUUUCAAAAGAGAGGAGGAUGUUGGUAAUGUGAAAGCUGAAAAGGAAGUGGAGAAGCUUUGGAACCAUUGGGUGGUUAGAGCUAUAGAGGAUGACGGUUGGGACGAGGAAGUUGUGCCAGACAGCGGCGAGGGUACGCUGGGUGCAUAGGACGUUGUGCCAAACAAGUGCGAAGCGGAAGUUGAGGGGUUCCAAACAGGGGUGUGGGUGCGCUGGGUGCAAAUGAGGUUGCUCUGAAUGGGGAUGAAGUGGCGAAAGAAGGAGCGCCGAAUAGAAGGGACCAUUGGGUGGUUUGACCUAUAGAGGAUGAAGGUUGGGACGAGGAACUUGUACCAAACAGCGGCGAGGGAGCGCUGGGUGCAUAGGACGUUGUGCUAGACAACUGCGAAGCCAAAGUGGAGGAGGUUCCAAACAGGGGUGUGGGUGCGCUGAGUGCAAAUGAGGUUGCUUCGAAUGGGGAUGAAGUGGCGGAAGAAUGAGCUCUGAAUAGAGGGGACCAUUGGGUGGUUGGAGCUACAAAGGAUGAAGGUUGGGACGAGGAAGUUGUGCCAGACAGCGGCGAGGGUGCGCUGGGUGCAUAGGACGUUGUGCCAAACAACUGCGAAGCAGAAGUGGAGGGGGUUCCAAACAGGGGUGUGGGUGCGCUGGGUGCAAAUGAGGUUGCUCUGAAUGGGGAUGAAGUGGCGGAAGAAUGAGCUCCGAAUAGAAGGGACCAUUGGGUGGUUGGAGCUACAGAGGAUGAAGGUUGGGAUGAGGAACAUGUGCCAAACAACGGUGAGGGAGCGCUGGGUGCAAAUGAGGUUGCUCCGAAUGAGGAUGAAGUGGCAGAAGAAGAAGCUUCGAAUAGAGGGGAGACGGAUGCGGUGAAGGUGGUGGCAGGUGCGGAGGAUAUGAAUGGGGAGGUGCAAGAGCCGGAACAGAAUAAGGAAGGAGGGUUGGAGAAAAAGAAAUGGAAGUGGAUUGGGCGGAAGAGGAAGAAAAGGAAAAGCCAGUGGUGGACGUGGUGGCAGGUGUGGAGGAUAUGAAUGAGGAUGUGGAAGAGCCGGAAAAGAAGAAGAAAUGAGGGUUGGAGAAAGAGAAAGGGGAAGUGGAUUGAGCGGAAGAGGAAGAGAAGGAGAAGCCGGUAGUAGACGUGGUGGCAGGUAUGGAGGAUAUGAAUGGGGAGGUGGAAGAGCCGGAACAAAAGAAGGAAGUAGGGUUGGAGAAAGAGAAAGGGGGGUGGAAAAGGAAGAGAAGGAGAAGCCGGUGGUGGACGUGGUGGCAGGUGCGGAAGAUAUGAAUGGGGAAGUGGAAGAGCCGACUGAGAAGGAAGGAGGGUUGGAGAAAGAGAAAUGGGAAGUGGAUUGGGCGGAAGAGGAAAAUGCCGAGGAUUCAAAUAAAAAGCUCGACAUUGUUUUCUCUCUUCUGCUGCUGCUGCUGCUCUAUGUUAUUGAGAGGUUUUUCAAAUUUUGGGGUUUUUGGUUAACACAUUUCAAAGCCUUCUCUUUUCAUUUUCUGGUUGUCAAUGGCUUCAUCCGCCUAAGUUUUCACAUUCUGGAGAUUUUGUUUCACUUUUACCAUUGUAAGACUAUAGAUCAUAGAUGCUGACAUGGUUGGACAGAUGUCGAAUAAUGGUGUCGUUGCGGCCCCCACCGUCAAAGAAAAAGCAGUCCCCAUGGGCAUUCAAGCUGAAAGAGAACUCAUAAUUGUAUAAAGGUUUUGCAUCACAUUCAUAACUCGAUCCGAAAACUUCACAUCUCAGAUUUUCGAUCUGUAACUUCCAAAGAUUUACAUUAUGCUUCUAAAAUAAUAUACUAAAAUAUUACCAUGAUUCGACAGUCGGAUCUUCGCCAAUCAAAAUUCAAGUGGCAGUCAACAUUUUAUUUUGCGAACUUACUAAUCCAAUUCAGGAAGAUUCAUACGUCAAAUUCCCAAUCCGUAAGUUUCUAUGGUCCUCAAAUAUUACGUACUAUAAUGUAUUAAAGUUUUGUGCCAAUCCAACCAUCAGAUCAUCGAUUGCUAUAAUGUUAAAGAGGCAUACCUUAGAGAAAUUAUACCCAAACGAUGGAAUUUCAUUAAUCGGAUGUCAAAUAUGGAAUCAAGGCAUCCAAAUUAGCCUAGUAAGGUCAGGUGGGGUAUUAGCCUAGCGCUGCCGCACACGGCAACUGACCACCCCAACUCGUCGGAAAAUUCAACUAAUUUCAAAAAUUCUCAAAUUUUACCAGAAUGAAGAUCUCAAUUAGUAGAGCAAGUUUUAUACCUAUGGCCACACCUUAAAUCGCCACAAACCUACCGGAACCCUAGAAAUGGGUGGGUUUCAAUUCACCCUCUCCGAUGCUUUGACGUGCCAACCAAAGCUUGGGACUUGUUCCUGGGUUCAAGAGGUGCUGAAAUAUGGUAGUGGUUGACGAAAGAGCUCGCAGAAAUAGCGGAUUCCACUGUCGUGGCUUCGGAACACCCACCAUAGGGUUUGAAUGGAAAAGGAAGAGAUGAGGCCGAAGUGAUGAAUGGUGGGGGUGGAUGGUCACGAUUCACCAGAAAAAUGGCUGAAAUCACGACGGAAAAGGUGCAAGAAGUCUGGUCAUGAACCCGGUAAAAAAGGAUAUGGUGCUCCUCCACUCAAUAGCAAUUAAAUUGCUACCUCGAAAUAUUGAUCAUUUAAAUACUUGAUUGCAAUACUUAUCUGUCAAUCAUGUAUUAUGCUUAAAAUCUCUAUAUAACAUCUCAAAUGGUGCCAAACCAAAAAUUGAAAUAGUAAUCGUAGUUACAUGCAACCUUAACAAAGAUGAGUGUCUAUUACAAUCAUGCUAAAACUAUAGAACGGAUAAAUGCAACAUGUUCACAAAUGUCUGGAUAGUUCAUUCGAACUAGUAGUUAAUCUGAGGGUGAAAUGUGGUAAUACAUAAUAACUUUGUAACCAUGGUUUUCAAGAAGACUCCCAAAACUUGGAAGUGAUACACGCAUCAUGAUGAGGUACAACAAUGACAUGCACAUUAGGCAUCCAAACAUUAUAAUUCAUAUAUGUCACAACAAGUAGAUUCAUUAUGAAAAUUUCUCUCGAAUUUAGUGAAACACUGUGUCGAGAAGGCUAAAAGAACAAUCAAGAAUUUGAGAAUUAAAAUAAGUCCAUCAAUCUAGAAUACAAAGUAACUAGAUUAAUGCAUAACAUCUCACUACAAUGGUAGCUUCUAGAAUAUUCAAUCACCAACGGUAACGAUUCGCUUAGCAGAGUUUGUUGAGUGAUUGAGAAAUUAAUGGUCACAACUGCAAUUCCAAUGUCAAUGGUUCUUCUAGACAGUUUAUCAACUUCAAAAUAAUGCGAAGUGCAAUAGGGUAGGUAGUACCCAAGGUUGACUGGAAUGCCUUCUAACACAAAAGGUGAAUAUGAAAUCACAAUCAAAGUAGAUGUUGAUCAAAAUGUCAGAAAAUCUGAAAAAUUCAAGAAUGAGUAAUUUUCUCAAGUGAUCAAAAUGUAUUCCCUAUGGACCAAUGGAAAGUAAGCUAACUUGUCAAGUCGGCGAUAAUCACCGAAACAUCAUUGUAAUAUCCACAUAUACAAGAUACCUCAUACCAGGAGCUUAUGGUGAUAUUUCUCAUCUCCAUUUGGAUAUAGAAAGUGAAUAUAACCACUCGAACGAUUUCUUGAUAAUUUGUAAGUAACGUCAACCCAAUGCUCAUGAAUUCCAACUAAAAUGAAAUAGGACAGACUAAAAGCAUUUCGGGAGUAGAUAAUGUCUUUUGAUGUGGCAAACAGUAAUUACGUUUCCACAACGAGGAUGAUACACGAUUGUGUAAUUGUAGAUGUUAAUUUGGUUCCUCUAUCACCAUUGUCAGAAAUCUAUUUCUUUCCAAAUGGAUAUGUACUUGCGAGGUCUAAGAUUGAUAGAGAUUUUGGACACGUUUCUCUAUAGAGAAGUGUCAUUCAGUUUUUAAGUAAGAUGGUAACUAUUGACUCUAAGUUAUGAAUAAGAUGGUUCAUUCCAAACGGUUCUACACGUUGGGAAAUAUAAGCGAUUCUCCGUCAUGCUGCCUCUGUACAGCCAAAACAUCCAAAGAACACAUCAUCAUGGAUUUUCAAAAUAAUUAUUAUCAUCGAAAGGUGUAAAACGAAGGUAAGAUGAGACAACAAUUUAGUUGUCAGAAACUUUAUUCAUAAUCAACAUCAUAACUAAAUUAACUUUCCUCGAUCGUAAAUGAGGAAAAAACACUACAGCCGAAGGAUCGCUAACAAAUUGUCGAUAAAAUCGACAUGACCAAAGAUAUCUCGAACGUCACUACACUUCGUGUGAAUUUCAACUUUCUUCCACUAAACCCUUUUUGGAAAAGAAAAGAUUAUCGUUUACGAAGAUCACGUCUCCCAAGAAAAGUACCAAUUUAAUCAAAGUUAAUAGUUGAGCACUUUGGUAUAAAGCUGACUAUUGAUAUUUAGAGAAUUUGGUCUCACUGUCAAGGUAGAUGAAAAAGUCAUCGAUAAGACCACUAUGAAUACGUUAGGCUAUGGGAGAAAACUCAGGUUACAAAGGUUGGUCAGCUCGACCAUCAACUCGAAAUAGGGGCUAACGGUUUUUGGUCGUCACGUGAUUGAGUCGCUAAAGUCUAGGUACAACCCUAAGGUUCAACCUUUCGCCUUUACGAAUAGGUUUGAGAUUCUCUAGAUAAAGUGUUUGGUUAGAUACAGGGUCGGGCGUGUCAGUUUGGUAUUAGAGCGUGGUUUGUUCAUAGCAUACUUAGGAUCUUCUAUUAUUGUAGUAGUGUGUCGAUCAUGACGUCAUUUGGAUGUCACGACUUCCUGAUUUGUUGUCUUUCGGCACAGUUAUGCAACCCUCAUUCUGCAUGAAUAGUCACAUCUUAUGGAAGAAAAAGAAAAUUCGUGUUGGGAUUUUGCCUCAGUGUUGACGAAAUGGAUUGUUGAACAACUUUCAACAUCGAACUGAUACUCUAUAGCAUGCGUUCCCUAAGAAUUGCGAGUAGAGUUGGUGUUUACAUUGAAGUGACUAUCUAAGCCGAAGAAACUAUCAUAGACACUUAAGAGCAAGUCUUGUAGAAUGACUGUAACCUCCUAGUUGUUUUAACCAUGUUUUCCACUUAGGUAACCAAAACCUCUUCGUCUAGCCACAUUUUCGAUCACUUCCACAAGUGGACAAUAGAAUCGAAGUACAAGUUAACUUCUCAUUAUUAGAGUGAAGUAGCGUAUCGAGAAAGCUACAAAGACUUAUUAGCACGUGUCUACCCUGGUGUUCGGUAGAUAUCAGGGUCGGGCGUGUCAGCGAGUAUCUUUGACAUAAUUCAAAGACGUAGUAACUAAAGUAUGCUUAAUAGACCUCCAAGAAAUUGUGGUUCCACCAACAAUACCCAUUUAGGAUCUUGCCAUGUACGGAUCGAAUAAGUACAUAGCGUCAACAUAACCAACAAAAGCAACUCGAAAACUAGGGGGAGGGGGGACGGUUGCACUCAAAGUUGAGUAAGGAUAGGACAAACACAAGUCCACAACACUAUUAAGAUAACAUAGAGUUUUUUUAACACAUUUCAAUGUCUGCAUGUUGGCACAUGAUUGUGUUAUGCUAAGAGAUUUAUAAUGCAGGAGAUGUUAGGUCUUGUACACUGAGAUAAGUACAACAAAGCACCAAUUGCACUUAAGUAUGGAACCUCAGGUUCUAAAACUUCUUCAUCAUCUAUCUUUGGACGGUAUAGGUCUUAUUGUGCAUCAAGCGUACAGAUGACAAUGAGAGUACUCAAAGUCCACGCUUUAUCAUUAAAGCAUUGUAACAUCGUCUUGGUGUAGUUUGACUAGUUGACCAUGACUAAUGGACCAUAAUGUUGGAUUGUGAACUACCUUAGUAUAUAUGUGCAGAAGUGUGGAGGUUGGCAUAAACAUAAAUAAUCAUUUUAACAUGCAUGUUUGCGAAAUGCUGGAUUCCAUUUAAUCAUAUUAAAUUAAUUUAUGUAUUGGUUAUGUUCAUGUAUAAUAAAAUUAAGAACACAUGUAUAAACUUAGAGUACGUUUUAGAAUUCUAACCUUUAGAUUUCAUAGGUGGACGAAUUCAAUGUUGUUGAGGCUACUAAGUGUUAGCCGUCUACUAGUAUCUACACAAAUAAAUCUUCGGCUAGUGAAGCAAGAAGACAACGAUCUGCUAGAACUUUAUCUAUUAGGUAGGUGCUGCGGCAGAGGUACAAUGCAUUGUUAUGAAGUUGGUCUAUAUUGUCACGCCUCGCCCCGAAAUAUAAAUAUAUUAAAUCUUCGGCUAGCGAAGCAAGAAGACGACGAUCUGCUAGAACUUUAUCUAUCAGGUAGGUGCUGCGGCAGAGUGACAAUGCAUUGUUAUGAAGUUGGUCUAUAUUGUCACGCCCCGCCCCAAAAUAUAAAUAUAUUUCGGGAAUUAAUUAUGGUAGGCCCAACUUAAAAACGUAGUUAAUUUAUUUCCUUUAACCACAUCCCUCUAAGUCAAUAUUACUUACUAUUACAAGCUAUCCAUAUUUUCUUAAAAUGUCAAACAUAUCUUUCAUUUAACAAUUGAAUUCACUAAUAUUAGUUGUCAUUCUCCAAAUAAUUCCCUUCGUCCCACGUAGAAUCUAUAACCAUUAUUCGUUUACCAAGAUAUACAAUUUACUUUCCAAUUUAGAACCAUUUCCUUCUCUUAGAUCAAAUUCCAUCUAAACACUAAUUCUCGAUUAUUUAGUCUCACUUAUUUAUGGCUGCAUCUAACGUCUUGUUAGACUGCCUACGUACCCUAAACAAAGAUCAAGCCAUUCGUAGUUCACAAAUUCAAAUUCAAUUAAACUUUGAUAUUUCUACACAUAAUUAACAAUCACCAACUAGCUUCAAAUAAGUGUAUCACAUUAAAUACUUAUUUAACUUGAAUCCAAAACAUCAAAUUUAGCUUAAAAUACGGCAUCGGUUCCCUAGCCAUGCGUCGUCGCCGUCCUGACUUGCCGAAAAAUUCAACUAUUUCUAAAAAUUCUCAAAAAUUACAAAAAUGAAGAUCUCAAAGAGUAGAGCAAACUUUAUACCUAUGGCCAAGCCCAAUUUGGCCGGGAAACACCUCAAAUUGGCCACGAACUGCCGAAAACUCUUGUUUUGGGUGUUCUUGAUUUGUCUCCAAAACAACUUCGACGCCUCAACCAAUGCAUGGGCUUUGUUCUAGGCCUCAAGAAGAGUAUGAGAGUAGUGGUAAUUGAAUGAAAUCACUUCAAAAUUUGGUGAAUUUUGACACCUACACCGUCGCACCCACCGGUGCGUUUUACCCCAUUUCAAGGUCAAAUUUCAUGAUUUUUGGGGGGUAACAGGGUUAGGGAAGGUCAUUGAGGGUUUUCCAAGUGGUAGUUUAAAUUGAUUUGCUGGAAAAUGGGCUAAAACUCACCAAAAAUAGCAAGGAAAACCGACCGAAUCGAGUCGGGUCCUUUCAGGUCAGGGAUCCCCCGUACCCCUUUUCUCUCAUUUUCCCCCCUUUCUCCUUUCUCCCAUUGGUCAACCUCCCCCUAUUCCUUCCUUCCUUUUCUCCUUUCUAUUCUUUUCUUUCAAUCUCAACCGUCCAUUUCUUUAUUUAUUUUCAUCUCAGCCACACACGUGGCACAACCAUUGGAUCAAAUUUUCUGGAGCCUUCUACCAUAAAAUGAAAUUAUUAAAAUAUCCUUAACUUUAAACGUUAAUAUCUUCUUUGUUAUAACUUCGUUUCAUGAACGGUUUGUGCCUACACAUUCAUGAGAUCGAGCUCUAUUCAAAAAUAUAAAUUGUCACUCUGAAUAGUUUUCGGAUUUUUAAAUAAUAAAUUCCCAAACUUAGAACUUCUUAACCAGUUUAAUUUAAAACUAAACUCGAAUAAAUUAAUAUAAUUUCUUGAAAAAUAAUCUAAAAUCUCAAUCAUACAAAUACAUAAAUUAUAAUAAUUUCCGAAAAUAAAACUUUAAAAUUUUCCAAUUCUACUUUCAUAACCAUAAAUCGAUUUAUUUUCAAUUUUCUCCACAUAUUCAUAUAUUUAAAAUUUCAGGGUAUUACAUAUAUUGUAUUGGAAAAUAAACAACAAGAAAGUUCAGAUGCCAUACCCUUUAAUAGCCAUAACAAGUGUUGAAGUUGUCGAAGUUGUAGUUUUACUAGAACUGUUUGUUGUCGUUUCAGGUACAAUGUAAGGAAUAUUUCGUCAAAACUAGGUUUAUGGAUAAAAAAUAAAAAAAAACAUACCAACUCAAGCAGUAAGGAUAAACAACUAAAUUAUUCUAAACAAGUGAACUCCAAAUGUAAUGACCUGUCUCAAAAUUUUAUAAAUUUCAGAACGACAAGGGUAAAUUGGUAUUUUCACAUGUGAGAGAUAUUUGCAUGUUUGUCUCUUAUGACUUGUUUGGUGCGCCAAUGAGGCCCACCGCUUUUAUUUGGGGACUAGGAUUAUCUCUUCUGACACACCCUGACCCAAAAUAUCGAGAUGUGCUGGCAGUCACGUGAGGAUGACGUAGCCAUGCGCGUUGUGCGGAAGAAUUAAAGUGAAAGACAGUGAGGAAACGAAAAGUAAACCGAAUAAUUUACAUCAAAAGAUAAGUGAGUAAAAGUGAUGAAAAGGAAAGCAUAAAGCACCACAUCAAAGUUCAAGUAACCUAGGUGCAGUCCGGAAUAAACAAGUACUGAAUAAACGUUAACCAAAUAAAUCCUACAUGGAUGAUGCCUUGUUAAAACUGUCUCGAUGCCUCGCUCGCCACCAACGUCGCAACUACCUAAAACUUGGAGCGGCGCAAAACUGAAAACAUGAGUGGGUAAAAACAAAGUUUUUCCAAAACCGUUUCAAUAUCAAAAUAGUAACCCCUCUCCCUAUACUUUCUCAGAAAAUAUCAUCCAUACUCAAAUAUCAAUCAUGCUGGAAAACGAUAAAUCUCAAAUAUGCCAUGUUAGAAUACGACAUGUCGAAUUACCCAAUCAAAACAAAAUAAGUAUCAAGUAGGUGAGAUAAAUCAAAUCAUAAUAUGCCGCCAAUCUCAAUACGUCAGUUGGAGUCACCUAACGUGAACUGUACGACUGAAUAUAUAGCUCCUCAAUCACUAUCUUGCACACGAGUCGGAACCACCUAUAGUGGUCUGUACGACAGGCUGGGUGUAUAAUUACGCUCAGUGCUACGAUCACGUGAAGGCUGUGCAACGUAUCACAAGUCACCUAUGAGUCGGAACCACCUAUAGUGGUCUGUACGACAGGCUGGCACCUGCCUUGGGUCCAAGGUGAGCGUACGGUGCGGGAGGUGAACGAUCACGUGAAGGCUAUGCCGUACUCUGGCAGAGCACAAACACCGGGGUGCAGGAAUAUGAGCUAUAUCUCAAUCUCAUCAUCAUCACAACUAUCACUAACAAGUAUACUCACCUGACUUACCUGAGCGACGCCAAUUCAUAACCAACAUAAAUCAUAAUAAACAAUAAUGAUAUUCGACAUGGCAUUUCAAUUAUAAAACCAUUUUAAAACAUAAUAUCUGGGAAAAUAUCAAAUAUAUAUAUAUAUAUUCUGAAAACAAAAGCCCACUCACUGAUAAGUAGAAGGGUCUUAGCCCCCGAGCCUGGCAUGGCUGUGCUCGUCUUCUGGAUAAGCCUUACCUAUAUGUGAAACAACUAUAAAACCGUCAAUUAAACGCACAUAACCAACCUUAGGUAAUAACUUCUCAUACAUUGCUCAAUUGGAGGUGUUUGAAUCUAACAACAUGCUUUACUUAAUCUCAGAACACCCUCAUAUUUUUAGAAAAAAUUUCUUGUCACCCACGCGUAGGCACGUGCCUGGCACACGGACGGAACAGUUAAUGCCGUAAGGAAUAUUUUGUUAAAAAGUAACAGAUUCCAUUAAAUCUAACCUGACACUGUUAGAAUAUUCCAUCAAACUUGACGGAAUAUUCAUCGUCUCCUUCCUUGAGUCACGGGAGUCCGGCGCCGGUCGCCGUCUGUUUGCGGGUUUCUGGAAAAUUUUCAAAUGUUGAUAUCUCAGUCAAAUCUUAACUAAAUUUCACGAAAUUAACGUCAAAAUGAAGCUUAGGACAAGGGGAAGAAAUCUAUACCAAUUUGAGGUCCCAACGAUGCUGGAAUCUCGCCAGAGAAAUCUCGAAAAAUCUGAUCAACUAUAGAACUCAAGAUUUCGACAUCCAAAACACGUCAACGUUGCUCCCCAAGCUUCGUGAAGACGUCUAGAAACUCCCUGUGAUCUUAGAAUCUCUAAAAACCUCCUCAAUCACGAGUGCAUGAACAAUACCUUUAUUGGAGCUUUCAGGUUUCAAGGGUUUUCAAGGUUUUCAGGACAAACCAAGGGUAUAGUUGAACUUGCAAGGGUGCAAGGAGAAGCAUGUAUAUCCGUACUUAGGGUAUGGAAAAUAGAAGAAAAAUCGAGAAGGAGGGAGAGACAGAACCAGAAACAGAAAAGGAAGAAAAAGGGGUGCACGUGUGCAUGUGUGUGUAUAAGUUUAACCAAUCACACCAAAACUAAGCUCAAGUUCUAAUUGGGUCCAAUAAUUUGGGAUAUCACCCUAUUGGCCCAAUGUAGCUCACACACAUAACCACAAACACGUAAGGGUAAAAACGUCAAUUCAUGCCGUCGAUAAAAUUAUUUCGGGACGGUCUGUCACAUCCUCUCUUUUUUCACCCCCUUCUUUAAUAUUCUUUAUUUUGUAUUUUUUUAUAUAAAUAAAAUAUUAAUAUAAAAUGUAAUCAUGAUCUAUUUGAACGGAAAUUGGAUGGAAAAAAAAAAGAUGAGAGACUUCUCAUUUAUUUGGUCUCCUGGUCCUCCCUCUCUCUUCCUUUUCCCCGUCACUCUCCUCUCAUCUUGGACUAUCACACUCUCUAACUCUCCCGGCCCUCAUCUCUCUCGCACGACCCUCAUCCUCCUUCAAAACCCAAAAAACUGGCGAUUCCACGGAACUGAAACCAAGCUGAAGUCCCCAUCCUUCUCUGUUCCCCCAUCAUCACUGUUCUCUCCUCCCUCGGAACCCUGCAACAUCACCAUCGCGGCAGAGCCGCCUUCUCCGGCGAGUUCGUCGAUUUCCCGACUUGGGGUAAGCCUCGGGAUGCUUAAGAUCUUCAACUGUUACUUAUCUUUUUGUCCUAUUUGCUGCUAAUGAUUUGUAGCAAGAGUUGAUUUUUAACUGUUUCUAAUUGGUAAUGGAUUAAAGGAAGUUCAUUUACUAUUAGAGGUGCAUGUGAAAGUAAGCUUGAUUCGUAACCUCGUCGAGCAUUUGGAGCUCGCUUUGACUGAGGUUUUUCGAUUUGAUGUGAUGGCGUAUAAGCUUUUCUCAGUUUCUCGGUCAUUUUAAGGGUGACCAAGAUUAUCUCUGUGAGCAAUGUUGAGGUUAGGGAUUGGAAGUAAAUGAAAAGGGGUGUCUUUUCAUCAAAGGCUGAGGCCAAGAUUAUCUUUUGAGAAAACUUUGAGGCCUUACCUAGAUUGCAAGUCUCUGUUAAGUUCCAAUUGACGAAGAUGUUUAAAACUGUUGAAAUUAUACUGCCUUAAUUGAAAGGAGGCCUUACCUAGGAUAAUAUCUAGCUCAUUCGGGGUCUUUUUUUGGUUCUUUAACUACAUGAAAUUUGCAUUGAGAUGAAUUCUUAUCCUGAAUGAGUACAUGUGAGAAUCACGCGUGAUUGACGGAAAAUUAUGAAAUAAGAUAAUGAAUUCCGAAGGCUGGGUGCUCAGCUGGAGAUGCGGAUAAACAAAGAAUUAUAUGUUGAUUUGAAAAGGAAGACGUUUAUAUUGUUGAUUGGAGUAUAUAUGGCCGAUGAGAAUAUGCUAAACCGAUAGUUGCUCCUUGUAGGUUGCGGGGGAAGUGGUAACAUUAUGUGUUCAGAAUGUGGUGGCCGCGGGUAUCUAAGAUGACCAUACCGGUUCGCUUAUCUUCCUUGAAUUUGUUGUAUGUGCAAGUAACUUGUGUUAUAGCCAUGACGCUUUCCCUAAUUUUUUGUGGCUGAUUCCACGAUGAGUUAAGUGUAACAGUAAUGCAUCUGAUUCAUUUACUCUUCGAAAUGGUGUUCUUCCUCAGAUUUAUGUGCCAUUUAUCGUGUUGAAUGUUCAGAACCAUACAAUUACCACAUAACAAACACAAAGGAAACGAAAAAACUUGAAACAAAAGUUGACAAACAAACAACCAACGACAUAAGAAAACAGACUGCAUACUUUUAUUUAGACCAUUUUUAGUACCCUCAAAACUAAUUGGCAAGUUAGUUAAUCCCCAUGAGUGACAAUGCUGUCCAUAUUCUUGGCAACUACCUCCUUAGAAUCCCUCAGUUUUCUUAUGCUUUUGUUAAGCUUCUCACGCUUUACUGCCACUGCCGGGGACUCCUCCAACAUCCUCUCAAUUCCCCCACCGUAUGGUCCCAUCAACUCAUUCACAAUCUCAGCUUCCAUCUCUUUGUUCACAAGGUUGAAAACAGACAGCUGCAAGUGCAAUGCCAUGGAGUCCACAAGCCUCCUCAAAACAACCUUCCAAUAGGCAAUCAUUCUCAUUUUAAGGUCAUAAGCUUGAGCUAAAACAUGCGGGUACUUCCUCAGAACACCGACUUCGACUUCCCCGAUGCCUUCUAUAGCUAUGACAGACGGUUUCUUCCCAUCAGUUAAGACUCCUUGAAUGAAUUCGUUUUGACUAGCCAUCAACUUGUUCCAUUCGGAAACAUAAUCAGCAUCGCAUGUAUAAUCUGUCACCUUUUCCAUCUCUACAAGCUCCAGCAUCCACUUGAUUGACCUUUCCUUCAUCUUGGCCAUUAGAUUAUGGCCGGCACGCCUUGCUGACAGCUGCAGCUGAUAAUAGUUCUCCGAAUUACGCAUCAAGACAGAAAUAACCGCCUCUUCAAUGUAGAUCCACACUCGUUCCACAAAUGCAAUCGGAAUACUUGAAAUUCCAUUCACUUUUCUCUGCAAGAUAAUGUGGAAAGCAUUGCGCGGAAGAAAGUUCGGAAGUGAAAUACCUUUGUUCUCCUCCAAGAUCUUGAUUUCCUCCAUCAAGAAGUUGCUCUUUGCAUCACUUUCAGGACAUCUGUGAAGUUCAUCCGAGUACUGGUUGAGCAUCUCAACCAAUCUAGCAGUGCAGUGCAUGCGGUUGUCUUCCGCGUACUCCUCAAAUUCUCCUCUCAAAAGGAUCUUCCUAAGCGAUUCCUUAGCCAAGCCAAUGAUUUGCAUAAAGGCCGUCAUGGCCUCAGCAACAGACGAAAGACUCUUGGGCAUUUUAUUCAGUUCCAUAAUGCAAAAAUUCAGCCUGUCAUUGAUCUUCUUCACUAUAUCGGGUAAAUUUUUUGCCAUGCUGUUUGGGCAUUUUAUUCAGUAGUCAAGGUAACGUUCUGCUAUGGUUAACCACCCGUAAGGGUCCUCGCCAUUAAAUCAUGGCAGUUCCAUUUUAAUAGCUUUAAAAUGUGAAUGAGGGUUCUAGGGAGGUGGGUUGGGUAAUAUGGGAAGGGAGGGUGGUGAGGAGUUGGGUGCCGUGGAGGGACUUAAGUGGAAGGAUUGUGAGUGUGAUAAAUGGUAGGGUUGGGGCUGUAGCGGUGGGAAUGGGGGUGGGUGAAGUGGUGGUGGUGUAAGUGGAAAAUGGGGCUAAGCUCGGGGAGAGUGGGUAGGAAAUGCCCAGACUUGAGGAUUGAGCACUGAAAGGCACAAAAAUUAAACGAAAUCAAGGGGAUGGGUUAAGGUUAGAGGGACGAGGACCGAGAAAUGAAGUGGUCUGGUGUUGAGGUUGAAUGGGGGUUGAAGAGGGGUUGGGUGUGUGGUGGGUGGCGGUGUGGGUGGAGGUUUGGGAGGGUGGAGGCCCCGAUUUGAGGAUUCGAAGUUCGCCAAGCAUUAGGGAUUGAAAAGCUGCAAACUGUGAGGUUAUAUUGUUUUGAAAAGCUGUGUUGGAGGUGUUCAAGGUUUCGAGAGAUUUCUGGAGGUGGGUUUGUUGUGUUUCCAGGGCGAAGAUUGAGUCACACAAGUCAUCAACUUGAGUUCGCAGGUAUUUUUGACGAACAUCAACCGCAACAGUGACGGCGUCUGGAUCAGAGGUGGCGGACUGCAUGUUUUUGCCCAUUAAAUCGACGGGCUCUGAUACCAAUUGGUAUGCCCAAUCGGUUCAGGUUGGCUGAAAAUGGCAACUUUAAUACAAAAUAGUGCAGGAAUUUAAAAGAAGAAAGGGAAAGAAGAGUUUGAGAAAAAAGAGGCAACUUUAAUUCAUCAUUUCAUAGGUUCUUUCUACUCUCCUUUGUUACAAAUUUAUACUCCUCAUAAAAGGAAAAAACCCUAGCUACUUGGACGUAAGGAAAGAAGGCUGGUACGGCCCGGUUACAAGAGGAGAAGUAGUGGACUCAAGUAAAUGGGCUUAACAUGGUGUCGUUGGGGCCCCACCAUCAAAGAAAAAGCAGUUCCAUGGGCAUCCAAGAGGAAAGAGAACCCACAAUAGUAUAAAGAUUUUGCGUCACACUCAUCGCUUCGGCAUCAAUCCUUUUCCCUCCUUGCCGAUGUUCUUUAUAUUUUACUUUCUUUCUUCAUAAGUUGUUUGUAGAUGACAUGUUCUGAGAAUCUCUUGGGUGUCGUAUGCGUGCUACAAUACUCGUUUGUGUCAAAACACACAUAAACAUUAUUCUUUCCGUUGAGAUUUAAAAUUAAAAGUCUAUAGACACUUUUUGGUGAACUCGAAUUAAGGAAUUCUCAUUUUAUGUGUUAAGUUUUAUGCGGAUGAGUUAAGUGAUACAAAUUCAAAAAUUACUCUACAUUUUAAGCUGUUGUUUUUUUUUAACAUUUAUAAGCACAUAUAACUGAACUAGGACGCCACACAACAAUAAACCAAUUUUGUAUAAAUCAUUGUUACUUGGAGAUUAAGAUUAUGGCACCAUGAAAUAUUAAAUAGUUUUGCAAGAAAAAAAAGAACGUGGGAAAGAUGACAGGGCUAAAACAAUUGAGACUACAAUUUAGGACGCAUUGUACCACAUCUUUAAAAAAAGGUGGAAUUUUCUUAUAUUAGUGAACCCUACUUUUAUUAAAUAGUUUUCAAUGUAAUUUAGUAAAGUAUAGCCUCUCUAGCAUGAUAAGCCUAUGAGUAAUUAGCAUUUGUAGACAUCAAAUGCUAAUGAGAAAAAAAAAAAUCUAAUUUCAUCCUAUCCACCUCUAUUAUAACAUUUAUGUUUCAAUGCAUAUACUAAUGAUCAAAAUUCAAAUUUCAAUUGUAGAACUGAACAAAAUUAAAUAUUGGUAACAAAGCAAUAACAUCUGAGCUGUGAAAGCAAAGAGAAAAGUACCACGAUAUAAGAACUUGCGUCACAAUCAAAGCUUCAACAUCAAUCUGUCCCUCCUUGCCAAUGUGCUUUACAUUUUUUUUUUUACUUUCUUCAAAUUUGUUUGUAGAUCACAUUCUUUGAGAAAAUUUUUAGUUCACUAGUUUUGUCACGUCACUUGUUCUUUUAAAAAAAAAAAGAUUCUUUCGCAUCAUCAGUUCAUCACACUACAAUCAUGACUUUAUUGGAUGGAUAACAAUAACAAAAACAAAGUCUUAUUCUAAUAAGUGAGGUCGGCUAUAUAAAAUGUCACUGCAUUCAGUUUUGCUUCAUGUUCAUUAGAUGAAUAAUACAAUUUUUUCAAUACAUGACCAACUUUACAAAUAUUUUUGGGAAGUAACAUUUACACAAAUUAUUUAGCUUCUUUUUUUUUUUUUUGACAAUUGUGUGAGAAACUAAAAAAAGUGAAAAUAAAAUCUACGACGCUAUUGGAACUAAUUUUUUAUUACAUAAAAAAGUCCCUCUGCCUAGUAAAAGGAGGAGAAUGUGACAUGAUUGCUUUUAUUCAAUCCACAUUCUCCCCCACUUGACCAUUUCAUGAGAAAGGAUCAUCCUCAAAUUCCUUCCAUCAAAUUCUUCCAAUUAACAAAUCUGGACCCUAAAAAUUUAAUUUAACGAUUAAAGUUAGUAUAACUUUUUAAAGAGAUCUCAUGUUUUUAACCGUUUGAUCAAAUUUUAAAUGCUUAAAUUUGUUGAUUGGUUAGAUUUGGUAAAAGGGAUUCGGAGAGGAUCCCUUCCCAUUUCAUAAGUUGUCUAAAUGCUUUUGAUUCCUUUUUCAAAUUGAUGCUAGGCCCAAGAAACAAAGCAACACUAGACUAGACUAAAAACAACUGCCGUACGUUUGCCAAAAAAAACUAAUAACAACUGCCGUACAAAAGCAAGAUAAAAAGAGAUACAAGGGAGAACAUUCUCCCCCACUUGACCAUUUCAUCAACAAUGUUGUCUAAAUGCUUUUUAUUCCUUUUUCAAUUUGAUGCUAGGCCCAAGAAACAAGGCAACACUAGACUAAAAACAAUUGCCGUACAAAAGCAAGAUAAAAAGGCAUACAAAGGAGAACAUAUAUAUAUAUAUGUGUGUGUGUGUGGGUAUGUAUAGAUCAGUUAAAAUGAUAACCUUUCUUAGAUAGAACUGAGCAUAUAAACCAGCAAAGGUAAUAUUAGGGAAAUCAAAAUUUUCAACCAAAUGAUGUGUCAUUAAUAGGAAAUAAGCACGUUAAUCAACACAAAAAUAAUAAUUCAAUCAUCAACAACCACAUCAUUUGGUUUGCAAAUUUGGUUUAAAAAAUUUAGUCUCUCUAGAAUUAUCCAACCGGCAAACAAGUUUAAUUAUCUUAGACAAGUAACACUAUUUACGUAUUUAUUUUCAGGCAAUUACAACUUUGACAUCAAAAAGAAGAUUUAAGGAAGAUGAUUUUCUUAUCAGUUAGAAUUUCUACAAUGCGUGUCUCAUUAUUUACCUAAAUAAAUUUUUAUGUCUGUCAAAUUGGUCAUGAAAGCUCACUAUCAUAUUAAUAAGCGGUAAUGAAAGCAGAUAACAUGAGACAAAAAAUAGGAGUUAACUGUAUGUAGGAGGAAAUCGCAUUUAAAUUUCAUUAAAAACAUUAAACUUGACAUGGAUUACCACAACCAUACGACUACGGACCAUCACACAACAAGAACACAAAGGGAACAAAAGAACUUAAAAACAAAAGUUGACAAACAAACAACCACCCACAUCAGACAACAGAAAGCUAAUUGCCAAGUUAGUUAAUCACCAUAAGUGAUAAUGCUGUCCAUAAUCUUGGCCACCACCUCCUUCGAAUCCCUCAGUUUUUUUAUGCUUUUGUUAAGCUUCUCACGCUUUACUGCCACUGCCGGCGACUCCUCCAACAUCCUCUCAAUUCCCCCACCGUAUGGUCCCAUCAACUCAUUCACAAUCUCAGCUUCCAUCUCUUUGUUCACAAGGUUGAAAACAGACCGCUGCAAGUGCAAUGCCAUGUAGUCCACAAGCCUCCUCAAAACAACCUUCCAAUAGGCAAUCAUUCUCAUUUUAAGGUCAUAAGCUUGAGCUAACACAUGCGGGAACUUCCCCAGAACACCGACUUCAACUUCCCCGAUGCCUUCUAUAGUUAUGAUAGAAG
RNAcentral lists this long non-coding RNA (51454 nucleotides) under Malus domestica (apple). RNAcentral's name for it is "long non-coding RNA (MDOM_LNC013620)". Lineage: Eukaryota; Viridiplantae; Streptophyta; Magnoliopsida; Rosales; Rosaceae. The record is from RNAcentral.